AUGUCUUUUAUGAUUAGACAGAUCUCGCAACACAGUUGAGACAAGGUCUCAUCUUUAACUCAUAAAGUAUCGGAAAAAUUAAUUGAAAUUCGCUGAAUCAACUUUGAAAUUGAGUUAGCAAAAAAAUAGGAACAAGCUCAGAUAGGCGUAUGUCGUUCAAAGGUUUCAGAAGACUGCACUGGACCCACCAGUGCUGCUGCUUUUCGUCACAGCUUGUUACACAUCGAUGCUCUCAGAAUAAUCUUUAUAUGAUCAGAUAGUCCUUGCUCUCUGGGCAGUGUGGUACUCGUAUUGGUAUUGCUAGCGACUGUGGCGGAGGCGUAGACGCGUAGUGAUACUGUGCCGCAUGACUGGCAGCACUCGCCAGCUUAGCUGCAUGGGCUCGCGCAGGAACCUCGGUUCUGUUUAUACCCAUUAUUGAGCCUUUUGUGGAGCGUUUCAUGGGCCAUGUUUUCAUGUGGUGGGCUAAAUUUAAGCAACAAGUCCACAAAGCAUCAGCUCUAUAUAUCCACCACUUAAAACAAUACUAAGAUCACACAACAAAUUAACUCCAGUCAUCUUCUUCCUCAAUCACAUCCAACGGUCUUUGUUUUGUGGAUCAUCCCUCAUCAUCAUUCAUCCAUCGCCAACGCAACAAUGCUCCAUGACCCCAAUCCCGCGAGCCCUGAACAACACCUUCAUGGAGUCGACGACGCCAAUGCGCGUUCAACGUCCUCGCCCCGCGACACGCACCUUCAUGGAGUCGACGACGCCAUUGCUGCUGAAGAUGGUGAUGCUGCACAUGUUGGGCGAGAUCCGCAGCUGCAUACUCCCCCUCCCCCGCCGAUGGGAGCUUCGAGUCCAGCGGCCUAGGGUUUCGAUGGCGGAGGCGGUGGCAUUAAGCAGAGACAUGGUAAUCACACCAGGUGAUACUAAUAGGUGAGAAAACAGAGAGGAGAGGAAAUAGCAAUGCUCCCCGCCGCGUGCGAGUGGUGCAAAUACGGGGCGACACCGAGGCUAUCGGUGAAUCCCUAGGGAAUUUUGGGGGCGAGAGAGUGGAGACUGAUUUCUCAGGCGGUUAGGCGAUGCCCGAUAAUGAGAUUAUCAAGCUAUGCUCUGCUCCCGCCUCGCUUGCUUCUUCCCCUUCCCUGCUCUCGCCCGCUCCCCCCUGUCUCCCGUGGUCCCGUUUCCCGUGUUUAUAUGUUUUUCUCUUUCUUAUUUCUUUUCUUUUAUUUCUAUAAUUCAACACAAUACAGUUCUAGAUUUGUAUUGAGUUAUAAAAUAAUUUAAAUAGGUUUACAGAAAUAUCAUUAAUAUUUAUAUCUCAAAUGCAUAUAAUAUGGAAACAUAUUUUUAUAAUCAGGCUAUGUUUGUUUCAGAUUAUAAUCUCUCUAGAUUAUAUAAUUCAGCGUAAAUAAUCCAGCAGGUAAACAAACAUCUAGAUUAUAGAUUCAGAUUAUAUAAUCUAAAGUCCAGAUUAUGAUAAUUUCAUAAUCUCCUCAAUAGUAGCUUAUUUGAGAUUAUUUUGGCAAAAGACCCACUACUCAUUAUUAUGUAAAUAGAAAUUACAAUAUAUAUCAUCCUUGUUUCCUCACCUCAAAUAAAGAAACAAGGAUACUGUUGUCUUUAUUAUUAAUCUACAUUUGUAUAAUCUAGACUACCAAACAACUACAUGUAGAUUAUAAUCCAGAUUAUAUAAUCUAUAAGCUAAAACAAACAGGCCCUUAAUAUCUUAAUUAAAUUACAGUAAAUAUAAACACGUUUUUUUUGUCAUUUUACUUUAAUUCAUACUUAGACCUUUUUAUAUCUUAAAAAACUUAUUCUCUUUUGAGGUUGCUGAGUAUCAAGAUGUUAGAGUAUCUUCAAUAAAAAGUAUACUUGAGUCCUAAAAAUUAAAAUAGGAUUUGAUUUGAAGUGCUUAGGGCUAGAAAACAUUUGCAGCUCCAACGGUUUAGUUCCAUAUCAUUUUUACGAAAUAUAUCUUGUUAUUUAGAAAAUAAAAGGUUAUGAAUAGUGUAUAAAAUAAGGAUAGGACUUUAGCAUAUGAGAUCCUAUAUGACAUGAGAGCUCGAGUUCUAUAGAUGAAUUUUUAUGAAUUAAGACCUCUGUUGGAGCAGAUUUUUUGUGUUAGAGUCCUAUAUUUCAAAAGACAACUUUGUUUAGUACUCCUAUUUAAGAUGCUCUUAGAUGUUUGUGAUAUCUAUAUGUAAAAAAUUGGUUGAUGUUUACAAGCACAUUCCCCAAAGUUCAUGUAAGUUUCAGGAAGUGUAUACAUUUUUAGUGGACACUUGUUUGGUAGCACAAUCAUGAGUUUUUGUUUCUUCUGUGUAGGUGCUUGGUUCGAACUACCAAAGCAGACAUCUUGAAGUAAUAGAUUCAAAGCUGGCAUUUGGAUAAGGCUCUUCAAUCUUACCAUGGAGUGCGAUAAACUACUGAAUAGAUUCUUAAUGUGUAUUCACUUCAUAUCUAUUAAAAUUAUUGUCUUUUAGAUUUGUCGUAGCAUUAGUACGGACACCUUACUAGUAAGGAUAUAAUCAGAAAAAAAUAUUAUUGCGGGUCUUCGUCUUCCGAAGGUCCUCAAAAACACGACUUAACAAUGUCUUUUGAGUGUGACAUGUGAACAUGCACCUUUGGACUCGGGUUAAAAGUAUGCAUGAUGUGAAGAGCAUGAUCGUGACGAAGGCUGGUGAUGCUCCGAAGCUACGAGCAAAGGAGCUUUGGCUAAAUGGCGGAAAAAGGAACCGACUUAAAGGGAAAAAGGCUAUUUGGUCCUCAUAUAGUUGUUUAUAAGCCAAUAGUAAAUAUGAAGGGCAUGAAUGUAAUUUCUGACAGGCUGCGUCCUGUGCCUAUAAAUAGAUGAACAGUACCCCCGUACUGUUCACGCUGACUUGUAUUCGCUUGUGCGUCACGCUUGUACUUUCACCUUCUAUCAAGCCGAAGGUACCUUUGUAAUUCAAUAUUGUUUCUAUCUUUCCAGGAUAAUAAGAUGGGAAUGAAUUAAUAAUGUUAUAUGAUUGUAUAUGCUGUCUCUAAUAUUUCAUAUGCUUCUUUUAUUAACAUAUACUACAAUGAUGAAGGUAUGUUCUUCAUGACCUUCGUUUGAAGAUCAUUAUAUCCUAAGGGAAAUAAUGCUUCGAAGGACGAAGGGGCAUUAACAUUUAAUGUUUUGUGUUGCCUUGUUCUUAAUUCAUAGCUUUUGAAAACAAGUCCCCAACAUUGGCGCCCACCUCCGAUGAACUCUUUCAACCACCUUCGGCAAGCACUGACCUUCGUCAUGCCGCCGAAGAAAGCUUCAGCGACAGGGGCUGCUGCACUGCAGCCACUGGACCUAAACCAGGAAACUCUUUCUCUCCGAGAAGCUCGAAGCCAGAAAGGAAGGCCACCAGUCCAACACUCCAAGAGGAGGAAUUGGACCAAGAGAUCAGGGACAUGGAAAUCAUCCAUCAGCAAGUACAAAGGAAGAAGGAGAAGAUGGCGCGGCUGGCUGAUCUUCAAAGGAAGAUCGACGAAGCUACUAAAGAAGUGUGUCAUCAUGUUCAAGAUGAAUAAGACCGAAGGCCCCAACACAGGGAGCUUCGUCAAGAAGGCUUAUUUAACGAAGAUGGAUGGUAUGAUGAUUUUAAUCAUGAUACCUUUACUUUUGAUGAUGCUUCUCCCUUGGCAGCAGAACUGCAGGCUACCCCAUGGCCCCCGUCAUACAAGCCACCUCAGCUUCCCAUGUAUGAUGGGCACUCAGACCCAAAGCAGUUUCUGAUGAGCUACGAAGCAACUAUAUCUUCGUAUGGGGGCAAUACUGCAGUCAUGGCGAAGUCCUUCGUCAUGGCAGUCCGGAAUGUAGCCCAAACAUGGUUUCUUCUUUUCGGCCAAGGACCAUCACAUCAUGGCAGAAGCUUAAGGACAUGCUGGUGACCAGUUUCCAAGGUUUUCAGACGAAGACAGUCACAGCUUAGGCCCUGUUCCAAUGCACGCAAGACCAUGAGUAAUACCUCUAGGCGUAUGUCCGAAGGUUCUUGCGAUUGAGGGCACAAGCGCCCACAGUGCCCAAUGAAAUUGUCAUUGAGGCCAUGAUUAAGGGCCUUCGGACAGGACCUACAACUCAGUACUUCGCUAGGAAGCCCCCACAAACUCUGGAGAAGCUGCUCCAGAAAAUGGAUGAGUACAUCCGGGCUGACAACGACUUCCGCCAAAGAAGGGAGGAAGCUUACAGAUUCUCGGAAAUGACCAGGGGCUUCGGAGGAAGAAUCCACCCGAGGCAUGUCAGGUCAAUCCAUAAUUCCAUUCAGAGUGAUGACAAAGGGAGUCAGCCUCAGAGGUCACAAUACACCUCACAAUCUUCGGGGCAACAAUAGAGCUCUUUCAGGCCACCAGCUCCAAGGGGCAGAGGCGCCAGGGGCUUCGGGGGAAGAUUUGGGGAUCAGCCUAGAAAGAUUUACUGCUUAUUUUGUGGUGAGGACAAGGGCCAUACUACAAGAAUGUGUCAAAUCACCAUUCAGAAGCAAAAGGAGAUAGCAGAAGCCGAAGCUCGGCAGAAUCAACCGAAGUAGGUCCUGCACACUGCUUCGUGCCAUUCUCCCUACAUACCAGAGUAUGUGGGCAAUUAUCCUGCAGCUUCUGUUGCUUCGGCUAGCCAUUCACAGGCUUCCUGGCCACAACUCCCACCCCCCCACCACUACAACCGACCUAUUCCCGAAGCCAGCAGCUAGAAGGGCACCAACACUCUCAACAGCAACGGGAAUUUAGGGAGGAAUCCGAAGCUCGUACAGUCAACAGUACUGUGCCGGAAUCAAAGUACAUUUAUUGAGAGAUAUCCUACCUCUGAAAAAUUUCUCACAUUCUAUGUCAUUUUUGUUUUUCAAUAAGGAACAAGUAAUGCAAAUUUAGUUUUAAUUCCUUGUAAUAGUUCCAUUUCUAUUAAAAUGAAAUAUAUCUUCUUCACAGAUUUACGAAGCUCAAAUAUUGCCGAAGCUCAAAAAUCGUUCCUAAGGGAGCGCAACGUAAGUUUUGACGAAGCUACAAAAAAGUCGUUCCUAAGGGAGCGCAGUGUAAGUUUUCUGCUUAAAAGUCGUUCCAAAGGGAAUGCAGAGCCAAAUACCGCUGAAAUAUAAGGCGAAGAAGUUCAAAAGACGUUCCUAAGGGAAUGCAGAACUUACACCGAAAAGUCAACGGUGGUACCGCCGAAAUAGAAGGCGAAGAAGUUCAAAAGACGUUCCUAAGGGGAUGCAGAACUUACACCGAAAAAUAAGCGGUUAAGCCGAAAAAUAAACGGCAAAGAGAUUCCGAUCGUUCCUAAGGGGACGCAGAGAUGGUGUGUUCCAGUGUGGGUGUGUGGGUGUGUAUCUUCGGCAUUAGCAUCAUCCUUCACAUCAUAUCAUCACAUCAUCUCACAUAGCAUCACAUCAUACAUUAUAUUGCAUCGAUGACACGAAUUGAAUACGAAGUCCAUCUUCGGAGACUGCUUAAAAAAAUGAAAAUGUGCUAAGGCACAAAGUAAGCUGAGAAAUACAACUUCAUCGGUUUUAUUGCAAAAGAAGGGAUCCUUUGUUUACGAAGCUAGGAUGUUUUUACGAAGCAUGGAUAUUUUCACGAAGCACGGAUCUUUUUCUUUACGAAGCAUGAAAAGAAGGGAAUGUGUUUUUUCACCAAAGGCUAAAAAACGGUAUGUAUAUAAAGUUUCAUGCAUCGCAAAGAACUGAAUUACAACUAAUUUACAUAUUAGAUUCAAAAAUAUGCACAUCGAAUAUUACAGUGUUGUUACAGCAAAGCUACAUUGAUAAUCUAAAAAUGUUUUUACAAUAAGUACUAAUCCUCUUUCAGGACCUUCUCCGCAACUUCAUUUAACAACUUGUUAACAACUUCGUCAAUAAUAGAUUGGGCCAUAUUGAUGAUCUCUAUUGAUUUCUUCGUUUCUGGGUCGGCCAGGGGGUCGAACGGUUCCAGUGGAGGAGAUAGUUCAGCUACAGUAGAAAAAAUUAAUCAGUUCGAAGUCACAAAAACAAAUGCCGAAGCUAGAUGCCGCGAAACAAUACCUAUGCGCCUCUCGCGCUCUGCGGCUUCUUCAACUUGCUUAGCUUGUACUCGGGUGUCAUGGAUGUCUUUUUCACUUUUCUUCAUAAUUUCGUGAGCCAUUUCUCGGCCACCAUUUAUCCAGAUGUCACUAUAAAAUUUUCCGCCCAUUAAACUUGCUUCAGCUGAGGGAUCUUUUGUAUCAUCCACGGAGAAGGCAGCUUCGGCCUGUGCCAGGGUAUUGACAUGGUCGCAACCCGCCUUCUCCAGGAUGGCUGAAAUUCCUCUUGCACCGGAGAACGCGCAAACAUCCCCGCGAUCACUUAGAAUUUCUUCAAAAGCUUCUGCCUCUCCGCUUAUCCACUCGAUAACACCUUCAGGGUCGCCUCGUAUGAAGUUAUCUUCGUUUGAAUAGGCGCCCACGUUGGUGAAGCUAGCCUUUAUCUUCUCCACGCAGCCCAAAGAUUUUUCAAAACAUCUUUCCUUGAAUGUGCAAAGUUCUUCAACUGUUUUCUCUAAAUAGUUUUUCCAAUAUUCGCUGGCCUCUCGGUUAGCUUCUGCGAGAGCGCAUUUUUCUUUGGCCUCUGCCAAUUGUUUCUGAAGGUCUUCGAUCUCAUUCUUUUGAAUCUCAGCUUGAGCCUUGGAACUAGCUUCAUCUUCUUUCACUUUGUUUACCAAUGAAAUCAAUGUUUUGUCUUUUUCAAGGCCUUCAUUCCUUAAUUCGAUCACCUCUGAAUGAAGGUUGUUCAGAGCCAUUGUAUACCCUUCAUCUUCAAUGUUUUUCUGUGCUCUAAGGGCAUUGCUAAGGAUUAAGCCCUGCAAGAGGAGGAGAAGAUUAAGUAUAAACAAAUGAAAUAUUUAGUUUUCAAAAUACAAAAUUGGCUUUUAUACCUUUAUGCUAUUAUACGCUAAACUGUCAGCCAGUUCAUCCUUUGAUAAUAUUGAAAGGCCAUCUUCCAGCUUCGGAAAUCCGAAGCUUCUACCUAUCUCCUGGCAGACGGAUAUCUCUUUAUUAUCCGGGAGACAGUACAAAAAAUCUUCAUCCCCACUGCCAUUGAACACUAAUGCCCCCUUCGGGUAUUUCAAUUUUUAGGCAUAAUGUUGAGCUUCUCGUUUUUCUUCCUGAGAAAGUCCCUUUCCCGAAGCAUGGCAGAUGAUGUAAUCAAUGCUCUCUUUUAAAGCUUCGGGAGCAGGAGUUGCAACAUUUUCAGACGAAAUUUGCUCUGUGGCCUUUUCUUCUGUUGCUUUUUCUUCAAUUCCGGUAGGCUUUAUCUCAGUGGGCUCUGAAGGCCCAACUUCGGUUUUAGUUUGAAUUAUUAUAGCUUUGACUUCUGACUGUUUCGUUUCAGCUUUGGGUUGCGCCUUGGAAGUUUCGGCAAUUUUUCUGGUAGGAGUAGGAUUCAAGGUUCUUGUUGUUUCUAGUACAACAUCUAGCACGUUCGCCAUCCUUCUCCUUUUAGGAGUUGCGGCGGAGCCUUUUUGCAUCUUCGACAUUGUUGCCUCUGUUGAAGGGCUUAAAACUUAUGGCGUUCUUGGCAUCUCUACAAUUUUUGGCCCUUCAGUUUUAUCUUUGUCAGCCUUCGGUUCAACUAGCUUAACCAAAGGAAUCUUCGGCAUUGUAGCCGACUCUUCAGUCCUCCGCACGGGAGAAAUGGUUUCCUUUGUCUUGGUAGAUGAGGAGGUCCCUUCGCCAAGUUCAGGUAUCACAGCCGGUUCGAUGUAGCAUGGCCGGUGAGUUAGGACCUUCAAUUUUUCCCUUUCGGCACAUGCUCGUCUAGGGUGGCGGAAGCAACAGCUUUCCUCUUUUUUCCCUAUCCUCGCAGCGAAUAGCGGUAGUCGGGGUAAACGAAGCCAAUGGCAUCAAAAACUCUGUUCAAUCUCUUCUUUCCCCGACUUUCGAAGGCUAUGGAUAAUGCAUUAUCUUUUGCCUUGGAAUAUGAUCCAAGCAGUUCAUCACUUGUAGCUUCAAUACAUUUCAGCCAAUCGUCGUUUUGUUCAUCGAACUUAUCCCCAUCUGAAUGUAUAUUUUAGCCGGACCAGAUCACCUUCGUUAGACUUGGUGAUGGUUUCCUUCGGGAUCUCCCAGCUUUCUGCAAGUGGCCAUACUCUGAAUGAUAUAUGCUCUUGAAUUAAAUAUUGUGUACCAAUAAAGGAGCAGACUGUACUGAAGGCCUUCUGACACGCUUCGGCGGCAUCAUCAAUUUCGACCUUCGGCUUUCGGAGGAUGAAGCGGGACCAGAUGGGGCGCAUAAUAACUUCCUUAAUAUCUUCCCUUGCUUUCAAAUCAUUUUUACAUAAAACCAUUCUUCCAUCCAAGCUCCGGGCCAUCUCUUCCGAAAUGUUGGUACUGGGUGGCUUGCGUUGGAACGAGCGAUAAACCCAUAACAACCAAAGUUGUUGUGGUAUUGUUCUUUACCCAUGGCCUUCGUCUCAUAAAGCAAUUCAUGCAUAUUGCAGAAGCACUUUGCGCUUGGUUCUAACCCCUGGCUCCUUACUGCCCACACAAAAAUCUCCAUCCUUAUUAUGGCUUCGGGGGUGAUCUGAUGGAGAAAUAUUUGGAACGUCUUCAGCACUUCAACUACGAACUUACUCAAAGGGAACCGAAGUCUAGCCUUGAAGAAGCUUCGGUAGAUCACAACUUCAUUUUCUUCAGGGGCAGGGACGUUGUUGUCUCCGCCAGCCCUCACAAUAGACAUAUCUCGAAAAUACCUCCCUCUCAUGUUCUCUAGAUGACGGUUGAUUUUCCGAAGAAUGAAUGACUUGGCCUCCAGGGCCGAUCCUCAGAAUCUUCGUCCCCACUUUCUAAAUCAUAGCUGUCACUGUCACGAGUACCUUCAGACAGGCCCUCCAGUAUCUCCUUAGUAAUCUUCUCUGUAUUUGUUUUUGCCAUUGACUCAAUAAAUCCAGCAAUAUAAAGAUUCACAGUCUUCUUCUCCUCAAAAAGCUUCUCCUCUUCAGUUAGCUUCGUCUCAGCAGCAACCUUCUUGUCUUGAGACAUUUCUUCUUCAGAAAUGACGAAAAUGCGUCUUUUUUACCGAAGCUCAGAGAGCUCGAAAAACCAGCAAGUGUUAGUGAGCAAAGAGCUAUGAAAUUGAGAAAAUAAAGCAAAUGACACAAGCAGCGUAUCAAAUGCAGCUGGCGUGAGUUCUUAUUUAUACGCUCAAGCACGCUCCAAAUUGGGGGGGGGGCGUCCGUCAUUGGCUGUUGCUAUUCUAGUAAAGGUAAGGUGUUUUUUCGGACCUUCGGCUUAAGGCCUUCGUCCAUGUCACAGUCUGAAUUAGUUAUCUCAAACAAAUUAAUACUGCGAGGGGCUACUGUUGGGGGCCUUCGUUUUCCGAAGGUCCUCAAAAACACGACUUAACAAUGUCUUUUAAGUGUGACAUGUGAACAGGCACCUUCGGACUCGGGUUAAAAGUAUGCACGAUGUGAAGAGCAUGAUCGUGACGAAGGCUGGUGAUGCUCCGAAGCUACGAGCAAAGGAGCUUCGACUAAAUGGCGGAAAAAAGAACCGACUUAAAGGGGAAAAAGCUAUUUAGUCCUCAUAUAGUUGUCUAUAAGCCAAUAGUAAAUAUGAAGGGCAUGAAUGUAAUUUCUGAUAGGCUGCGUCCUGUGCCUAUAAAUAGAUGAACAGUACUCACGUACUGUUCACGCUGACUUGUAUUCGCUUGUGUGUCACGCUUGUCUUUCACCUUCUAUCAAGCCGAAGGUACCUUUGUAAUUCAAUAUUGUUUCUGUCUUUCCAAGAUAAUAUGAUGGGAAUAAAUUAAUAAUGUUAUAUGAUUGUUUAUAUUGUCUCUAAUAUUUUAUAUGCUUUUUUUUUAUUAACAUAUACUGCGAUGAUGAAGUUAUGUUCUUCAUGACCUUCGUCUGAAGAUCAUUAUAUCACAAGGGAAAUAAUGCUUCGAAGGACGAAGAUGCAUUAACAUUUAAUGUUUUGUGUUGCUUUUUUUAAUUCAUAGCUUUUAAGAACAAGUCCCCAACAAAUAUAUCCACCACGCUUUUUUUCUAAUCAUAUCAACGAUGCCUGCCUUGGUACGGGAACUUGUUGGACGUCCGUUAAGUACAAACUGGACAAUUCGAAUUGCAAGUGCGGCUAAACAUGUGCCUCAAAUCAUGAUAAAACUACGAGAUUCGUACGUCAUUCGUGGAAGCGAGAAGCAAAAGCUAGAAUGUGCCCUUGUUCUUGAGCUUUACACGGGCGUAGGGAUGGGGCAUAAUGAACCAAACUAAGCUAAGGUAGUGUUUUGAUCCCGUAGUCCAUUGGAAUGGAUCGGUGAGAUUUUAAAGAGCUGGAUGGUUCAGCAUUUAAACAUAAAUUUUUUUAGAUUCACUCUAUCCUACAUGAAUUUAAUCCAAACAACAAUAGAUUAGGAGCGGAACGGCUCCGUCCUACGGAACCAAACACUGUCUAAAAGAACUUUAAAAAAUAUAGUUCCAGGUCGAGUUGGAUUCCAAACAGUGAGGAAUUAAAAUAAUCAAAUAAAAUCUUAUUCCUAGUAUUGUAAAAAUCAUUAAAUUAACUCGUUGAAAAUUAGUUAGGGAAAAAAGAACAAGCUCAGAGUAGCGAGUGUCAUCUAAGGUUGAGAAGAUCGCACCGGGCCCACCAGUGCACUACAGGAAACGCAUAAAUUUUCGUGGGCCGGAGAAUAUUUGCGUGGGCAGGCCCACGAAAAUACAGAAGUUAUUUUCGUCGGCCUCGUGACCGACGAAAAUAUGGCGUAUUUUCGUCGGCCUCAGUCCGACCGACGAAAAUAAGUCAAUGACCGACCACUAUUUUCGUCGGCCUCAGUGAGGCCGACGAAAAUAGAGGCCCUAAAUCGUCCAUCUCGGCCUCAGCCCGCACCUUCUCGCUCGUCUCAAUCCCGUCGCGCCGCCGCACUCGCGCCCGCCCGCCCUCGCCGCGCCCGCCGCACGCGCCCCGCCCGCACGUGCCCCGCCCGCACGCGCCCCGCCUCGCCGCGUCGCACGCGCCCCGGCCGCCCCACGCCGCGCCGCUGCCCGCACGCCUGCCGAGGAGCCCUGCCCGCACGCCUGCCGAGGCGCCCCGCCCGCCCUCGCUCCUCGCCGCGUCGGCCGCCCCUCCCGCACGCCUGCCGAGGCGCCCCGCCCGCCCCUCGCCGCGCCGCCGCCCGCACGCCCGCCGUCCGAGGCACCCCACCCGCCCCUCGCCGCGCCGUCGCCCCACCCGAGGCGCCCGUCGCGAAGGCCUCCCCGCCCGCCUCGCCGUCGCGCGCCUCGCCCCACCCGCAUUUUCGCCAUCAGGCAAGUAUAAUCGUCGAGGCCCUGAGGUCAUUAAUUUAUAUUAGUCAUCUUGUCGUAUUGUGAUUAGUUUAACUGUUGAUUGCUUUAAUUCAAAUUCAUAUUUGUCUCCGAGUUAUUUUUUAAUGUUUAGAGUUUAGUUUUAAUCGUUAACCGUAGCGAACCGUAUGCGUCACCCGUUCGGGAACGGCGCACGUCACAUUGGCUUGUGAGGUUCGCCGUUCUGGAACUGUCCACGUAUUUUGGACAGCCUGAGAGUGUAGGCCGAUGCUUAUGAUUUGUGACAUGUGCCUUACGAUUGACGGGGAAUUUCGGUUGUGUAACCCAGUUGUUCUCCAACACACCAUGUUCAGGCGUGUGCUUGGAGAGCGGCGGGGUUAUGCUGCCGAAAUUUUGCAGCAAUCGUAGGCUACACAUCACAAAUCACAAGCAUCGGCCUACACUCUUGGGUGGGUUUAGGGCCUUUACCUAAUAGGGAGUUCACCUAAGCCACGAACGAUCGUUGAUGUUAUUUGUCUUUUGUUUAAUUAGCCUUUGAAAUGGACGGUGAUCGGAGGGUGAUGUAUGAUGGGUGGAGAAAGGAUAGGGCACAUUCGAAUGAAUGGAUGGUUGUAACAAAGGCUUUUCUUGAGCAUGCUUUCAAAGAUGCAACUGGUCGUCUAGUGAAGUGUCCUUGCAAUCGCUGCGAGAACAAGUGGCCUCAGAAGAAGGAAGAAAUGGAGAAACACCUUUGCAAAAGUGGGUUUAUGCCGAACUACCUUGUAUGGUACUGGCAUGGAGAGUCUAUUAGACACGUUGACACAGAGGUGGAACUUGAUGACGAUCAUGAUAGGAUGGACGACAUGUUGCAUGAACUUGAUGACUCCAGCGUCACAGCCACUGUGGACCGGUGUUGGGUGGACGCAGGCACCUCCAGGCACUUGGACGACUCCACCACCCCAAGGAUCGCAGCCAGUCCCGGGAUGGGUGCCACCGGUCUCCCAGCCACCGGCGGGCUCUCAGCCAUUUCAAGCGUGGAUGGCACUGCCACCGACGGGGUGGGUGCCACCACCUCAGGGGUGGCCAGCACAACAGUACCCGUGGAUGCAUGCACAAUCUCCUCAUCACCAUGGAUCACAUGUGACGUUCCAUGUUUAGUUUUAUGCAAAUAGUGACCAAACAUAGCAAUGUAUAGGUAUAGGGAUAGCAAAACACAGCCUUAUUUGAAUGAUUGAUGAAUUGCAGGGUUCAGCGUCACAUGCUCAGGGAUCGGAGGGUGCUGUCAACGUCCAAGACUUCCUCGUCCAUGGUUCUGGAGGGAGUGGCCACCUUCCUGGUGGCGGAGGAGGGAGUGGCCAAAACUCCCACAGCCUGCAGGAGUGAGUAGUGAGUUUGAUUAUGGACUAUGUAUGGACUAUGUAUAGACUUUAUUAUGGAUGUGGUUAUGGUAUUGAAACUAUGUAUGGACUAUGGACUAUGUAUAUGGUAUUGCUUGUGAAUGUGGUUUGUGAAAUAUGUAUUGCUUGUGAAAUCUGUAUAUGUGAUAUUGUGGAUUAUGUGUAUUUUGCUGUGAAUUAAAAGGUGCAGAAAAAUCUGUUUUGGGGGGGGGUAUCAUGAAUUUUCGUUGGCCUGUUCGGAGGCCGACGAAAAUACAUGCAGGCCGCCAGCUAUUUUCGUGGGCCACCGGGGCCGACGAAAAUAAAGCUCCUAUUUUCAUCGGCCAUCGAGGCCGACGCAAAUACCAAGCCGAGCACCUAUUUUCGUCGGCCUUGGGGAAGCCGACGAAAAUAGGUCAUUUUCAUCGGUACCGACGAAAUAGUUGCCUAUUUUCGUCGAACAUAUUUUCGGCGGCUAUUUUCGUCGGCAUGCCGACGAAAAUAGACUGUUUUCGUCGGUUUACGCUUAUUUUCGUGGGUUUUUGGCCCACAAAAAUUUAGGCGUUUCCUGUAGUGGUGCUUAUACUUAUUCAUCACAGCUUGUUAUGCCCUUAUUAAUUAAUCUUGAUGACACAGUUUAUAUGCUCAGAUAGGGCUCGCUGUUUGGACAGUGUGGUACUAGUCUUGCUAGUGAAUGUGGCGGACUGAUAAUGUGUCCUAACACGCCAGAGCUUAUUGAAAUGACUUUGAAAUUUAGCUACAAAAAAAGAGAGAACAAGCUGAGAGUAGCGAGUGUCAUCCACAGAGUUCAGAAGAUCGCACCGGACCCACCAGUGCUUAUACUUAUUCAUCACAACUUGUUAUACCCUUGUUAAUUAAUCUUGAUGGCACGAUUUAUAUGCUCAGAUAGGCUUGUUGUCUGGAUGGUGUGGUACUAGUCUUGCUAGUGAAUGUGGCGGACUGAUAAUGUGUCACCACUCGCCAGAGCUUAUUGAAAUGACUUUGAAAUUUAGCUACAAAAAAAGAGAGAACAAGCUCAGAGUAGCGAGUGCCAUCCACAAAGUUCAGAAGAUCGCACCGGACCCACCAGUGUUUUAUACUUAUUCAUCACAACUUGUUAUACCCUUGUUAGUUAAUCUUGAUGGCACGGUUUAUAUGCUCAGAUAGGGCUUGCUGUCUGGACGGUGUGGUACUAGUCUUUCUAGCGAAUGUGGCGGAGUAAUACCGUGUGUCACCAGUCGCCACCGUGCUUUAUACUUAUUCAUCACAGCUUGUUAUACCCUUGUUAAUUAAUCUUGAUGGCACGAUUUAUAUGCUCAGAUAGGGCUUGUUGUCUGGACGAUGUCGUACUAGUCUUGCUAGUAAAUGUGGCGAAGUGAUACUCUGUCUGUGUAUCACCACUCGUCAGAGAUUAUUGAAAUGACUUUGAAAUUUAGUUACCAAAAAAAGAGAACAAGCUAAAUUUAGUUACCAAAAAUGUGGCGAAGUGAUAUUGUGUCUGUGUGUCACCACUCGCCAGAGCUUAUUGAAAUGACUUUGAAAUUUAGUUACCAAAAAAAGAGAACAAGCUAAAUUUAGUUACCAAAUAAAAAAGAGAACAAGCUCAGAGUAGCGGGUGUCAUCUCCACAAAGUUCAGAAGAUCGCACCGGACCCACCAGUGCUAAUGCAUUUCAUCACGGCUUGUUAUACCCUUGUUAGUUAAUCUUGAUGGCACGGUUUAUAUGCUCAGAUAGGGCUUGCUAUCUGUACGGUGUGGUACUAGUCUUGCUAGUGAUUGUGGCGGAGUAAUACUGUGUGUCACCACUCACCACCGUGCUUUAUACUUAUUCACAACAGAUUGUUAUACCCUUGUUAAUUAAUCUUGAUGGCACGAUUUAUAUGCUCAGAUAGGGCUUGUUGUCUGGACGGUGUGGUACUAGUCUUGCUAGUGAAUGUGGCGAAGUGAUACUGUGUCUGUGUGUCACCACUCGCCAGAGCUUAUUGAAAUGACAUUGAAACUUAGUUACCAAAAAAAGAGAACAAGCUAAAUUUAGUUACCAAAAAUGUGGCGAAGUGAUACUGUGUUUGUGUGUCACCACUCGCUAGAGCUUAUUGAAAUGACUUUGAAAUUUAGUUACCAAAAAAAGAGAACAAGCUAAAUUUAGUUACCCAAUAAAAAAGAGAACAAGCUCAGAGUAGCGAGUGUCAUCUCCACAAAGUUCAGAAGAUCGCACCGGACCUACCAAUGCAAAUGCAUUUCAUCACAGCUUGUUAUACCCUUGUUAGUUAAUAUUGAUGGCACGAUUUAUAUGCUCAGAUAGGGCUUGUUGUCUGUACGGUGUGGUACUAGUGUUGCUAGCGAAUGUGGCGGAGUAAUACUGUGUGUCACCACUCACAACCGUGCUUUAUACUUAUUCAUCACAGCUUGUUAUACCCUUGUUAAUUAAUCUUGAUGGCACAAUUUAUAUUUUCUAAUAGGGCUUAUUGUUUGGACGGUGUGGUACUGGUCUUGCUAGUGAAUGUGGCCAAGUGAUACUGUGUCUGUGUGUCACCACUCGCGAGGGCUUAUUGAAAUGACUUUGAAAUUUAGUUAGCAAAAAAAGAGAACAAGCUAAAUUUAGUUACCAAAAAUGUGGCGAAGUGAUACUGUGUCUGUGUGUCACCACUCGCCAGAGCUUAUUGAAAUGACUUUGAAAUUUAGUUACCAAAAAAAGAGAACAAGCUAAAUUUAGUUUCCAAAUAAAAAAGAGAACAAGCUCAGAGUAGCGAGUGUCAUCUCCACAAAGUUCAGAAGAUCGCACCGGACCCACCAGUGCUAAUGCAUUUCAUCACAACUUGUUAUACCCUUGUUAGUUAAUCUUGAUGGCACGAUUUAUAUGCUCAGAUAGGGCUUGCUGUCUGGCCGGUGUGGUACUAGUCUUGCUAGCGAAUGUGGCGGAGUAAUAAUGUGUGUCACCACUCGUCACCGUGCUUUAUACUUAUUCAUCACAGCUUGUUAUACCCUUGUUAAUUAAUCUUGAUGGCACGAUUUAUAUGCUCAGAUAGGGCUUGUUGUCUGGACGGUGUGGUACUAGUCUUGCUAGUGAAUGUGGCGAAGUGAUACUGUGUCUGUGUGUCACCACUCGCUAGAGCUUAUUGAAAUGACUUUGAAAUUUAGUUACAAAAAAAGAGAACAAGCUAAACUUGGUAACGAAAAAUGUGGCGAAGUGAUAUUGUGUCUGUGUGUCACCACUCGCCAGAGCUUAUUGAAAUGACUUUGAAAUUUAGUUACCAAAAAAAGAGAACAUGGUAAAUUUAGUUACCAAAUAAAAAAGAGAACAAGCUCAGAGUAGCGAGUGUCAUCUCCACAAAGUUCAGAAGAUCGCACCGGACCUACCAGUGCUAAUGCAUUUCAUCACAGCUUGUUAUACCCUUGUUAGUUAAUCUUGAUGGUACGGUUUAUAUGCUCAGAUAGGGCUUGCUGUCUAGCCGGUGUGGUACUAGUCUUGCUAGCGAAUGUGGCGGAGUAAUAAUGUGUCACCACUCGUCACCGUGCUUUAUACUUAUUCAUCACAGCUUGUUAUACCCUUGUUAAUUAAUCUUGAUGGCACGAUUUAUAUGCUCAGAUAGGACUUGUUGUCUGAACGGUGUGGUACUAGUCUUGCUAGUGAAUGUGGCGAAGUGAUACUGUGUCUGUGUGUCAGCACUCGCCAGAGCUUAUUGAAAUGACUUUGAAAUUUAGUUACCAAAAAAAAGAGAACAAGCUAAAUUUGGUUACGAAAAAUGUGGCGAAGUGAUAUUGUGUCUAUGUGUCACCACUCGUCAGAGCUUAUUGAAAUGACUUUGAAAUUUAGUUACCAAAAAAAGAGAACAAGUUAAAUUUAGUUACCAAAAAUGUGGCGAAGUGAUAUUGUGUCUGUGUGUCACCACUCGCCAGAGCUUAUUGAAAUGACUUUGAAAUUUAUUUACCAAAAAAAGAGAACAAGCUAAAUUUAGUUACCAAAUAAAAAAGAGAACAAGCUCAGAGUAGCGAGUGUCAUCUCCACAAAGUUCAGAAGAUCGCACCGGACCCACCAGUGCUAAUGCAUUUCAUCACAGCUUGUUAUACCCUUGUUAGUUAAUCUUGAUGGCACGGUUUAUAUGCUCAGAUAGGGCUUGUUGUCUGUACGGUGUGGUACUAGUCUUGCUAGCGAAUUUGGCGAAGUAAUAUUGUGUGUCACCACUCACCACCGUGCUUUAUACUUAUUCAUCACUGCUUGUUAUACCCUUGUUAAUUAAUCUUGAUGGCACGAUUUAUAUGCUCAGAUAGGGCUUGUUGUCUGGAAGGUGUGGUACUAGUCUUGCUAGUGAAUCUGGCGAAGUGAUACUGUGUCUGUGUGUCACCACUCGCCAGAGCUUAUUGAAAUGACUUUGAAAUUUAGUUACAAAAAAAAGAGAACAAGCUAAAUUUAGUUACCAAAUAAAAAAGAGAACAAGCUCAGAGUAGCGAGUGUCAUGUCCCCAAAGUUCAGAUGAUCGCACCGGACCCACCAGUGCUAAUGCAUUUCAUCACAGCUUGUUAUACCCUUGUUAGUGAAUCUUGAUGGCAUGGUUUAUAUGCUCAGAUAUGGCUUGCUGUCUGUACAGUGUGGUACUAGUCUUGCUAGCGAAUGUGGCGGAGUAAUACUAUGUGUCACCACUCACCACCGUGCUUUAUACUUAUUCAUCACAACUUGUUAUACCCUUGUUAAUUAAUCUUGAUGGCACGAUUUAUAUGCUCAGAUAGGGCUUGUUGUCUGGACGGUGUGGUACUAGUCUAGCUAGUGAAUGUGGCAAAGUGAUACUGUAUCUGUGUGUCACCACUCGCUAGAGCUUAUUGAAAUGACUAUGAAAUUUAGUUAAAAAAAGAGAACAAGCUAAAUUUAGUUACCAAAAAUGUGGCAAAGUGAUAUUGUGUCUGUGUGUCACCACUCGCCAGAGCUUAUUGAAAUGACUUUGAAAUUUAGUUACCAAAAAAAAGAGAACAAGGUAGAUUUAGUUACCAAAUAAAAAAGAGAACAAGCUCAGAGUAGCGAGUGUCAUCUCCACAAAUUUCAGAAGAUCCCACCGGACCUACCAGUGGUAUUGCAUUCAUCACAACUUGUUAUACCCUGGUUAGUUAAUCUUGAUGGCACGGUUUAUAUGCUCAGAUAGGGCUUGCUGUCUGUACGGUGUGGUACUAGUCUUGCUAGCGAAUGUGGCAGAGUAAUACUAUGUGUCACCACUCACUAUCGUGCUUUAUACUUAUUCAUCACAGCUUGUUAUACCCUUGUUAAUUAAUCUUGAUGGCACGAUUUAUAUGCUCAGAUAGGGCUUUUCGUUUGGACGGUGUGGUACUAGUCUUGCUAGUGAAUGUGGCGAAGUGAUACUGUGUCUGUGUGUCACCACUCGCCAGGGCUUAUUGAAAUGACUUUGAAAUUUAGUUACCAAAAAAAGAGAACAAGCUAAAUUUAGUUACCAAAAAUGUGGCGAAGUGAUACUGUGUCUGUGUGUCACCACUCACUAGAGCUUAUUGAAAUGACUUUGAAAUUUAGUUACCAAAAAAAGAGAACAAGCUAAAUUUAGUUUCCAAAUAAAAAAGAGAACAAGCUCAGAGUAGCGAGUGUCAUCUCCACAAAGUUCAGAAGAUCGCACCGGACCCACCAGUGCUAAUGCAUUUCAUCACAGCUUGUUAUACCCUUGUUAGUUAAUCUUGAUGGCACGGUUUAUAUCCUCAGAUAUGGCUUGCUGUCUGGACGGUGUGGUACUAGUCUUGCUAGCGAAUGUGGCGGAGUAAUAAUGUGUGUCACCACUCGUCAAUGUGCUUUAUACUUAUUCAUCACAGCUUGUUAUACCCUUGUUAAUUAAUCUUGAUGGCACCAUUUAUAUGCUCAGAUAGGGCUUGUUGUCUGGACGGUGUGGUACUAGUCUUGCUAGUGAAUGUGGCUAAGUGAUACUAUGUCUGUGUAUCACCACUCGCUAGAGCUUAUUAAAAUGACUUUGAAAUUUAGUUACAAAAAAAGAGAACAAGCUAAAUUUAGUUACCAAAAAUGUGGCAAAGUGAUACUGUGUCUGUGUGUCACCACUCGCCAGAGCUUAUUGAAAUGACUUUGAAAUUUAGUUACCAAAAAAAGAGAACAAGGUAAAUUUAGUUACCAAAUAAAAAGAGAACAAGCUCAGAGUAGCGAGUGCCAUCUCCACAAAGUUUAGAAGAUCGCACCGGACCUACCAGUGGUAUUGCAUUCAUCACAGCUUGUUAUACCCUUGUUAGUUAAUCUUGAUGGCACGGUUUAUAUGCUCAGAUAGGGCUUGCUGUCUGGACGGUGUGGUACUAGUCUUGCUAGCGAAUGUGGCAGAGUAAUAAUGUGUCACCACUCGUCACCGUGCUUUAUACUUAUUCAUCACAGCUUGUUAUAUCCUUGUUAAUUAAUCUUGAUGGCACGAUUUAUAUGCUCAUAUAGGGCUUGUUGUCUGAAUGGUGUGAUACUAGUCUUGCUAGUGAAUGUGGCGAAGUGAUACUGUGUCUGUGUGUCAGCACUCGCCAGAGCUUAUUGAAAUGACUUUGAAAUUUUGUUACCAAAAAAAGAGAACAAGCUAAAUUUGGUUAAGAAAAAUGUGGCGAAGUGAUAUUGUGUCUGUGUGUCACCACUCGCCAGAGCUUAUUGAAAUGACUUUGAAAUUUAGUUACCAAAAAAAGAGAACAAGCUAAAUUUAGUUACCAAAAAUGUGGCGAAGUGAUAUUGUGUCUGUGUGUCACCACUCGCCAGAGCAUAUUGAAAUGACUUUGAAAUUUAGUUACCAAAAAAAGAGAACAAGCUAAAUUUAGUUACCAAAUAAAAAAGAGAACAAGCUCAGAGUAGCGAGUGUCAUCUCCACAAAGUUCAGAAGAUCGCACCGGACCCACCAGUGCUAAUGCAUUUCAUCACAGCUUGUUAUACCCUUGUUAGUUAAUCUUGAUGGCACUGUUUAUAUGCUCAGAUAGGGCUUGCUGUCUGUACGGUGUGGUACUAGUCUUGCUAGCGAAUGUGGCGGAGUAAUACUGUGUGUCACCACUCACCACCGUGUUUUAUACUUAUUCAUCACAGCUUGUUAUACCCUUGUUAAUUAAUCUUGAUGGCACGAUUUAUAUGCUCAGAUAGGGCUUGUUGUCUGGACGGUGUGGUACUAGUCUUGCUAGUGAAUGUGGCGAAGUGAUAUUGUGUCUGUGUGUCACCACUCGCCAGAGCUUAUUGAAAUGACUUUGAAAUUUAGUUACCAAAAAGAAGAGAACAAGCUAAAUUUAGUUACCAAAAAUGUGGCGAAGUGAUACUGUGUCUGUGUCACCACUCGCCAGAGCUUAUUGAAAUGACUUUGAAAUUUAGUUACCAAAAAAAAGAACAAGGUAAAUUUAGUUACCAAAUAAAAAAGAGAACAAGCUCAGAGUAGCGAGUGUCAUCUCCACAAAGUUCAGAAGAUCGCACCGGACCCACCAGUGCUGAUGUAUUUCAUCACAGCUUGUUAUAACCUUGUUAGUUAAUCUUGAUGGCACUGUUUAUAUGCUCAGAUAGGGCUUGCUGUCUGUACGGUGUGGUACUAGUCUUGCUAGCGAAUGUGGCGGAGUAAUAUUGUGUGUCACCACUCACCACUGUGCUUUAUACUUAUUCAUCACAACUUGUUAUACCCUUGUUAAUUAAUCUUGAUGGCACGAUUUAUAUGCUCAGAUAGGGCUUGUUGUCUGGACGAUGUGGUACUAGUCUUGCUAGUGAAUGUGGCGAAGUGAUACCGUGUCUGUGUGUCACCACUCGCGAGAGCUUAUUGAAAUGACUUUGAAAUUUAGUUACCAAAAAAAGAGAACAAGCUAAAUUUAGUUACCAAAAAUGUGGCGAAGUGAUAUUGUGUCUGUGUGUCACCACUCGCCAGAGCUUAUUGAAAUGACUUUGAAAUUUAGUUACCAAAAAAAGAACAAGGUAAAUUUAGUUAACAAAUAAAAAAGAGAACAAGCUCAGAGUAGCGAGUGUCAUCUCCACAAAGUUCAGAAGAUGGCACCGGACCUACCAGUGCUCAUGCAUUUCAUCACAGCUUGUUAUACCCUUGUUAGUUAAUCUUGAUGGCACGGUUUAUAUGCUCAGAUAGGGCUUGCUGUCUGUACGGUGUGGUACUAGUCUUGCUAGCGAAUGUGGCGGAGUAAUACUGUGUGUCACCACUCACCACCGUGUUUUAUACUUAUUCAUCACAACUUGUUAUACCCUUGUUAAUUAAUCUUGAUGGCACGAUUUAUAUGCUCAGAUAGGGCUUGUUGUCUAGACGGUGUGGUACUAGUCUUGCUAGUGAAUGUGGCGAAGUGAUACUGUGUCUGUGUGUCACCACUCGCCAGAGCUUAUUGAAAUGACUUUCAAAUUUAGUUACCAAAAAAAGAGAACAAGCUAAAUUUAGUUACCAAAAAUGUGGCGAAGUGAUACUGUGUCUGUUUGUCACCACUCGCCAGAGCUUAUUGAAAUGACUUUGAAAUUUAGUUACCAAAAAAAAGAACAAGGUAAAUUUAGUUACCAAAUAAAAAAGAGAACAAGCUCAGAGUAGCGAGUGUCAUCUCCACAAAGUUCAGAAGAUCGCACCGGACCCACCAGUGCUAAUGUAUUUCAUCAUAGCUUGUUAUACCCUUGUUAGUUAAUCUUUAUGGCACUAUUUAUAUGCUCAGAUAGGGCUUGCUGUCUGUACGGUGUGGUACUAGUCUUGCUAGCGAAUGUGGCGGAGUAAUACUGUGUGUCACCACUCACCACCGUGCUUUAUACUUAUUCAUCACAACUUGUUAUACCCUUGUUAAUUAAUCUUGAUGGCACGAUUUAUAUGCUCAGAUAGGGCUUGUUGUCUGGACGAUGUGGUACUAGUCUUGCUAGUGAAUGUGGCGAAGUGAUACUGUGUCUGUGUGUCACCACUCGCGAGAGCUUAUUGAAAUGACUUUGAAAUUUAGUUACCAAAAAAAGAGAACAAGCUAAAUUUAGUUACCAAAAAUGUGGCGAAGUGAUACUAUGUCUGUGUGUCACCACUCGCCAGAGCUUAUUGAAAUGACUUUGAAAUUUAGUUACCAAAAAAAAGAACAAGGUAAAUUUAGUUACCAAAUAAAAAAGAGAACAAGCUCAGAGUAGCGAGUGUCAUCUCCACAAAGUUCAGAAGAUCGCACCGGACCUACCAGUGCUAAUGCAUUUCAUCACAGCUUGUUAUACCCUUGUUAGUUAAUCUUGAUGGCACGGUUUAUAUGCUUAGAUAGGGCUUGCUGUCUGUACGGUGUGGUACUAGUCUUGCUAGCGAAUGUGGUGGAGUAAUAAUGUGUGUCACCACUCACUACCGUGCUUUAUACUUAUUCAUCACAGCUUUUUAUACCCUUGUUAAUUAAUCUUGAUGUCACGAUUUAUAUGCUCAGAUAGGGCUUGUUGUUUGGACGGUGUGGUACUGAGAGCACCUAGAGGGGGGGUGAAUAGGUGAUCCUGUAAAACUUGAAACUUAAGCCACAAAAACUUGGUUAAGUGUUAGCACAAUAAUGCCAAGUGGCUAGAGAGGAGAUCUUGCACAAUACGAUAACCACAAAGAGUCCAACAGAGAGAAGACACAAUGGUUUAUCCCGUGGUUCGGCCAAGUACAAAACUUGCCUACUCCACGUUGUGGCGUCCCAACGGACGAGAGUUGCACUCAACUCCUCUCAAGUGAUCCAAUGAUCAACUUGAAUACCAUGGUGUUUUGCUUUUCUUUUUUUUAUCCCGUUCACGAGGAAUCUCCACAACUUGGAACCUCUCGCCCUUACACUUUUGAUGUUCACAGAGAAUCACGGAGUAAGGGAGGGAUGAGCAACGCACACAAGACUCAAAAAUCAGAGCAACAACACGCACACAAGUCGCAACAAGAGCUCGCAACACAACCCAAUGAGUUUACAACUCAACAAGAGCUCUAGAUGCUAUCACAAAGAAACAAAUGCGUGGAAUCGAAGUCUCGGUGCUUAGGAUUGCUUUGAGUAUGCUUGGUGUACUCCUCCAUGCGCCUAGGGGUCCCUUUUAUAGCCCCAAGGCAGCUAGGAGCCGUUGAGAGCAAUCUGGGAAGGCAAUUCUUGCCUUCUGUCGUCUGGCGCACCGGACAGUCCGGUGCACACCGGACACUGUCCGGUGCCCGAUUUCCUUCCUAAAAUGGCGCAGCCGACCGUUGUAGAUUUAGGAGCCGUUGGCGCACCGGACAUGUCUGGUGCACACCGGACAGUCCGAUGCCCCCUUCUAGCCGUUGGCUCGGCCACGUGUCCCGCGCAGAUUGCGCGGCCGACCUUUGGCCCGGCCGACCGUUGGCUCACCGGACAGUCCGGUGCACACCGGACAGUCCAGUGAAUUAUAGCCGUACGUCGUCGGUGAAUUCCCGAGAGCGGCCAGUUCGCUCGAGUCAGCCUGGCGCACCGGACACUGUCCGGUGCACCACCGGACAGUCCGGUGCUCCCAGACUGGGCAGAUUCUUGGCUGCUCGAGCCAAGACAUUUCCAAUUGGAUUUUUCCUGUUUCCAGCACUUAGACACAAUACAUUAGUCCAUAAAACAAUGUACUAAGUCUGAGAAACAUACCUUUAUCCUUGGUUUGUACUUUGUCCACCAUUUUACAUUUAAGCACUUGUGUUAGACACUAAAUCACCAAAAUACUUAGAAAUGGCCCAAGGGCACAUUUCCCUUUCAAUCUCCCCCUUUUUGGUGAUUUAUGCCAACACAAUAUAAAGCAAGUAGAACAAAUACAAACUUACUUCAAAUAAGAACUCAAAUCGUUUUGAUUCAGAUUUGACAUAUAUGGAUCACUCUUUGCCACCACUUGGUUUGUUUUUGUAAAUCAAACUCAAAUUUCUAUCUCUAAGUCAAACACACAUGUUAAGACAUAAAGAGAGUCAUUCCAAGAGAAAUUGAUUCAAGAUUUCAAAAACUCCCCUUUUUCCCAUAAUCAACACUUCUCCCCACAAGAAGCCAACUUUUGACAAGAGAGACAAUAAAUGAGUUUUGACAAACCAAAAGCUCUAUUCUACUAUUUUCAAAAUAUCUCAAGUGGUAGCUGAUCCAUUUAUUGCUUUGGCCUUUAUUUUCUCCCCCUUUGGCAUCAAGCACCAAAACGGGAUUAAUCUUGGCCCCAGAACCCCAUUGCCUCACCAAAAUCUUCAAUAAGAAUACAAAGGCAAUAAGAGUACAUGAGAUGAACUUGGAAUAAGUUACCCUCUCAUCGGAGUGCAGUGGAAGUCUUUCAUGGUCCAAGUCCACCUUUUCCCUUUCAAACCUCCUUUGAGACUAAAACAAGCAAACUCAAGCACAUGGUUAGUCUCAAAGGGUCAAGUUGUAACACAUCUCCCCCUAAACAUGUGCAUCACUUUGCAACGGACUUGUGAGGUCCAGGAAGUGUUUGUACAACUUGAGCACCAUUAUUAAGCAACAAAAUGCAUAAGGAACAUGAUCAAAGGCAUAAACACAUGUAUGCUAUAAAUCAAUCCAGGUUCCGCGAAUCUAAGACAUUUAGCUCACUACGCAACCUGCAAAAGGUCUUCUCAUCUAAAGGCUUGGUAAAGAUAUCGGCUAGCUGGUUCUCGGUGCUAACAUGAAACACUUCGAUAUCUCCCUUUUGCUGGUGGUCUCUCAAAAAGUGAUGUCGAAUGUCUAUGUGCUUUGUGUGGCUGUGUUCAACAGGAUUUUCUGCCAUGCGGAUAGCACUCUCAUUAUCACAUAGGAGUGGGACUUUGCUCAGAUUGUAGCCAAAGUCCCUGAGGGUUUGCCUCAUCCAAAGUAGUUGCACGCAACACUGUCCUGCGGCAACAUACUCGGCCUCAGCGGUGGAUAGGGCAACAGAGGUAUGUUUCUUAGAAUUCCAUGACACCAGGGACCUUCCUAAGAAUUGGCACGUCCCCGAUGUACUCUUCCUAUCGACCUUACAUCCAGCAUAGUCGGAAUCUGAAUAUCCAAUUAGGUCAAAGGUAGACCCCUUUGGAUACCAGAGCCCGAAGCAAGGCGUAGCAACGAAAUAUCUAAGGAUUCGCUUCACUGCCACUAAGUGACACUCCUUAGGAUCAGAUUGAAAUCUAGCACACAUGCAUACGCUAAGCAUAAUAUCUGGUCUACUAGCACAUAAGUAAAGUAACGACUCUAUUAUUGACCGGUAUGCCUUUUGAUCAACAGACUUACCUCCUUUGUUGAGGUCAGUGUGUCCGUCGGUCCCCAUCGGAGUCUUUGCGGGCUUGGCAUCCUUCGUCCCAAACCGCUUCAGCAAGUCUUGCGUGUACUUCGUUUGAGAGAUGAAGGUGCCGUCCUUGAGUUGCUUCACUUGGAACCCAAGGAAGUAGUUCAACUCGCCCAUCAUUGACAUCUCGAAUUUCUGCGUCAUCACCCUGCUAAACUCUUCACAAGACUUUUUAUUAGUAGAACCAAAUAUUAUGUCAUCGACAUAAAUUUGGCACACAAAAAGAUCACUGUCACAAGUCUUAGUGAAAAGAGUUGGAUCGGCUUUCCCAACCUUGAAAGCAUUAGCAAUUAAGAAAUCUCUAAGGCAUUCAUACCAUGCUCUUGGGGCUUGCUUAAGUCCAUAGAGCGCCUUAGAGAGCUUACACACGUGGUCGGGGUACCGUUCAUCCUCGAAGCCAGGGGGUUGCUCCACGUACACCUCCUCCUUGAAUGGCCCGUUGAGGAAAGCGCUCUUCACAUCCAUUUGGAACAACCUGAAAGAAUGGUGAGCGGCAUAUGCUAGCAAAAUACGAAUGUACUCUAGCCUAGCCACAGGAGCAAAAGUCUCCUCAAAGUCCAAACCUGCGACUUGGGCAUAACCUUUUGCCACAAGUCGAGCCUUGUUCCUCGUCACCACCUCGUGCUCGUCCUGUUUGUUGCGGAACACCCACUUGGUUCCCACAACGUUUUGCUUGGGACGAGGCACCAGUGUCCAAACUUCAUUGCGCUUGAAGUUGUUGAGCUCCUCUUGCAUGGUCAACACCCAGUCCGGAUCUAGCAAGGCCUCUUCUACCCUGAAAGGCUCAUUAGAAGAGACAAAGGAGUAAUGCUCACAAAAAUUAACCAAUCGAGACCGAGUAGUUACUCCCUUGCUUAUAUCACCCAGAAUUUGGUCGACGGGAUGAUCCCUUUGAAUCAUCGCUCGAACUUGGGUUGGAGGUGCCGGUUGAGUUUAUUCCUCCAUCACAUGAUCAUCUUGUGCUCCCCCUUGAUCACACGCCUCCUGUUGAUGAACCUGUUCAUCGUCUUGAGUUGGGGGAUGCACCAUAGUUGAGGAAGAAGGUUGAUCUUGCUCAUCUUGUUCCUGUGGUCGCACAUCUCCAAUUGCCAUGGUGCGUAUUGCGGUCGUCGGAAUAUCUUCUUCAUCUACAUCAUCAAGAUCAACAACUUGCUCUCUUGGAGAGCCAUUAGUCUCAUCAAAUACAACGUCACUAGAGACUUCAACCAACCCCGAUGAUUUGUUGAAGACUCUAUACGCCUUUGUAUUUGAAUCAUAACCUAACAAAAACCCUUCUAUAGCUUUGGGAUCAAACUUAGAAUUUCUACCCUUCUUCACUAGAAUGUAGCAUUUGCUCCCAAAUACACGAAAGUAAGAUACAUUGGGUUUGUUACCGGUUAGCAGCUCAUACGACAUCUUCUUGAGGAGGCGAUGUAGGUAGACCCUGUUGAUGGCGUGGCAAGCCGUGUUUACGGCUUCCGACCAAAAGCACUCGGGGGUCUUGUACUCUCCAAGCAUCGUCCUCACCAUAUCGAUGAGCGUCCUGUUCUUCCUCUCUACCACACCAUUUUGUUGUGGUGUGUAGGGAGCGGAGAACUCAUGCUUGAUCCCUUCCUCCUCAAGAAACUCCUCCACUUGAAGGUUCUUGAACUCAGAUCCAUUGUCGCUCCUUAUCUUCUUCACCUUGAGCUCAAACUCGUUUUCAGACUUAUCCUGCAAAAAGAAUACCCAAGUGAAGCGGGAAAAGUCAUCCACAAUAACUAACCCAUACUUACUUCCCCCUAUGCUUAGAUAGGCGACAGGUCCGAAGAGGUCCAUAUGUAGCAGCUCCAGGGGUCUUGAUGUGGUCAUCACAUUCUUGCUGUGAUGUGCUCCUCCCACCUGUUUACCUGCUUGACAUGCUGCACAAGGUCUAUCCUUUUCGAAUUGCGCGUUAGUUAAACCUAUCACGUGUUCUCCCUUUAGAAGCUUGUGAAGGUUCUUCAUCCCCACAUGAGCUAAGCGGCGAUGCCAUAGCCAGCCCAUGCUAGUCUUAGCUAUUAAGCAUGCAUCUAGACCGGCCUCCUCUUUUGCAAAGUCAACUAAAUAAAGCUUGCCGUCUAAUACACCUUUAAAAGCUAGUGAACCAUCACUUCUUCUAAAGACAGACACAUCUAUGUUUGUGAAUAAAUAGUUAUAUCCCAUAUUGCAUAAUUGACUAACAGAUAGCAAGUUAUAUCCAAGAGACUCAACUAAAAACACAUUAGAGAUAGAGUGCUCAUUUGAAAUAGCAAUUUUACCUAAUCCUUUUACCUUGCCUUGAUUCCCAUCACCGAAUAUUAUUGAAUCUUGGGAAUCCUUGUUUUUGACGUAGGAGGUGAACAUUUUCUUCUCCCCUGUCAUAUGGUUUGUGCAUCCGCUAAUGUCGGGGACCAUAAUUAGGGGUACCCACAAGGCUCCUAAUUCUCAGCUGGUAACCCCCAUCAGCAUAAAGCUGCAAAGGCCUGAUGGGUGCGACUAAGUCAGGGAUCAGUCCAUUCGAGCGACUCGAUCACGCCUCGCCCGAGCCUAGCCUCGGACAAGGGCAGCCGACCCCGGAGGAUUUCCGUCUCACCCGAGGCCCCCCUCCGACGGCGAACAUAUUUCCGGCUCGCCCGAGGCCCCGCCUUCGCUAAGAAGCAACCCUGACCAAAUCGCCGCACCAACCGACCAAAUCGCAGGAGCAUUUAAUGCAAAGGUGGCCUGACACCUUUAUCCUGACGCGCGCCCCCCAGCCGGCAGAGCCGAAGUGACCGCCGUCACUUCGCCGCUCCACUGACCGACCUGACGGAAGGACAGCGCCGCCUGCGCCACUCCGACUACGGUGCCACUUGACAGAGUGAAACUGACAGGCAGUCAGGCCCUGCCGAAGGCAUCAUAGGAAGCUCCGCUUCGCCCGACCCAGGGCUCGGACUCAGGCUAAGUCCCGAAGGACGGCGAACUCCGCUUCGCCCAACCCAGGGCUCGGACUCGGGCUAAGUCCCGGAAGACGGCGAACUCCGCUCCGCCCGACCCAGGGCUCGGACUCGGGCUAAGUCCCGGAAGACGGCGAACUCCGCUCCGCCCGACCCAGGGCUCGGACUCGGGCUAAGUCCCGGAAGACGGCGAACUCCGCUCCGCCCGACCCAGGGCUCGGACUCGGGCUCAGCCCCGGAAGACGGUGAUCUCCGCUCCGCCCGACCCAGGGCUCGGACUUGGGCUCGGCCCCGGAAGACGGCGAACUCCGCUCCGCCCGACCCAGGGCUCGGACUCGGGCUCAGCCCCAGAAGACGACGAACUCCGCUUCGCCCGACCUCAGGGCUCGGACUCCGCCCUGGCCUCAGCCAACGGCCUCCGCCUCGCCCGACCCAGGGGCUCAGACUCGGCCUCGGCCACGGAAGACAGACUCGACCUCGGCUUCGGAGGAGCUUCCACAUUGCCCAACCUAGGGCGCAGGCCAGCCACGUCAACAGGAGGCGCCAUCAUCACCCUACUCCGAGCUGACUCGGGCCGCAGGGAACAAGACCGGCGUCCCAUCUGGCUAGCUCCGCCAGAUAGGCAAUGAUGGCGCCCCGCGUACUCUGUGACGACGGCGGCUCUCAGCCCCCUUACGGAAGCAAGAGGACGUCAGCAAGGACCCAACCGCUCCGACAGCUGUCCCUCCGCCAGGCUCCAUCGCUCCUACGACGGCCACGACAUCACACCCGCUGGGUGCCAAAAAUCUCUCCGGCUGCCACAACGGCAUGUACUUAGGGCGCUAGCUCUCCUCCACUAGACACGUAGCACUCUGCUACACCCCCCAUUGUACACCUGGAUCCUCUCCUUAUGCCUAUAAAAGGAAGGACCAGGGCCCUCUUAGAGAGGGUUGGCCGCCCGGGGACGAGGACGAGACAGGCGCUCGCUUGGAGCCGCUCGCUCCCUCUCCCGCGUGGACGCUUGUAACCCCCUACUGCAAGCGCACCCGACCUGGGCGCGGGACGAACACGAAGGCCGCGGGAUUCCCACCUCUCUCACGCCGGUCUCCGGCCGCCUCGCUCUCCCCCCUUCGCGCUCGCCCUCGCGCUCGACCCAUCUGGGCUGGAGCACGCGGCGACAUUCACUCGUCGGCCCAGGGACCCCCCCGGUCUCGAAACGCCGACAGUUGGCGCGCCAGGUAGGGGCCUGCUGCGUGUUGACGAACAGCUUCCCGUCAAGCUCCAGAUGGGCAGUCUCCAGCAACCUCUCCUACCCAGGACGGUGCUCCGUUUCGAGAGUCUUGAGUUCAUGUCCCUCGACGGCGGCUACGACAUGAUACUCCUUCCGCCGCCGCGCGACAACGACAAUGGCGGCCGACAGCCCGCCCGCCGGCGGCGGAAUCGACGACGCCUUCCCCGCGGUGGAAGAACAACCUUCGAGCUCAUCCCACCUCCUUCCCCGCCGGCGGAGGGGAAGGCAGGGCAACCAAGGCCAAGCAGGAGGCAGCGCCUCAUUAGCUGUCGAGCGAGUCGACAGCACCGGCACCCCAACGGGGGGCGCACCGGGUAUUGACUUCGCGCUUGAGACGAAGACGAGCGCCGUCUCCUCGCAACACGCUGAUCCCGAGCAAGCGGACGACGCCAGCGCGCUCGCGAAAAGCUUGCUGGACGUCACCCUCGUACCUGAGACGAUGGUGCAGCCAGUCCCCGACGUGACUUUAUCGCCGCUCGUCGACCAAGAGGUACCGACCGAUUCCCGUCCCACGUCAUUUGGAUUCAGCCUCAACCCGCCUAGCGACCCCGCUUUGGCGGGCGCUCUUGUAGAGGCGAGUCCAAACCCUCUAGGGUUUCGCAUGCGGUCGCCUUGGGACCGGCUGACAGACGUCUCGACCUACGGGCCCUCUGGGUCCGAGGAAGACGACGAGCCCAACAUCUGCUCGGAUUUCUCUGGACUUGGCAACCCCAGUGCCAUGCGGGACUUCAUGACCGCAUGUGACUACUGCCUCUCUGACUGUUCCGAUGGUAGCCGUAGCCUCGGCGACGAGGACUGCGGUCCAAGCCGCGAAUGCUUCCACGUCGAUCUAGGGGCUCCCUCCGAAGGCAAUCAUCUCGGCAUGCCGGAGGACGGUGAUCUCCCUAGGCCGGUGCCCCGCAUUGACAUCCCACGGGAGCUAGAUGUGGUCCCCGUUCAGGCGGGGGGCCAUGACCCACAGCUCGAGCAAAUCCGCGGGGUGCAGGCCAGGCUCGACGAGGGAGCAGGAGCGCUUGAGCCGAUCCGCCGGGACGUCGGGUAGGCAUGGGCGGGCCAACCCUUGGCCGGAGAAAUACGCCAUCUGCCCCAGGGCUUCCAGCACCGCGUCGUCGACGACAUCAGGGUCAGGCCGCCACCCGCAUCUAGUGGGGUCGGCCAGAACCUGGCUGCAGCAGCGAUGCUUCUCCGCGCGAUGCCGGAGCCAUCAACCACCGAGGGCCGGCGAAUCCAGGGGGAGCUCAAGAAUCUCCUGGAAGGCGCUGCAGUCCGACGGGCCGAGAGCUCUGCCUCCCGAAGGCAGGGGUACCCCUCGGAACCUCAUGCCGCGACUUCCCGAUUCAUGCGGGAAGCCUCGGUCUACACCGGGCGCACGCGCAACACCGUGCCUGCGGCCCCGGGCCGCCUCGGCAACGAGCACCAUCACCGCGACCGUCGGGCCCACCUCGACGAGAGGGUGCGCCGAGGCUACCACCCCAGGCGUGGGGGACGCUACGACAGCGGGGAGGAUCGGAGUCCCUCGCCCGAGCCACCCGGUCCGCAGGCCUUCAGUCGGGCCAUCCGACGGGCACCGUUCCCGACCCGGUUCCGACCCCCGACUACUAUCACAAAGUACUCGGGGGAGACGAGACCGGAACUGUGGCUCGCGGACUACCGCCUGGCCUGCCAACUGGGUGGAACGGACGAUGACAACCUCAUCAUCCGCAACCUCCCCCUGUUCCUCUCCGACACCGCUCGCGCCUGGUUGGAGCACCUGCCUCCGGGGCAGAUCUCCAACUGGGACGACCUAGUCCAAGCUUUCGCCGGCAAUUUCCAGGGCACGUACGUGCGCCCUGGGAAUUCCUGGGACCUCCAAAGCUGCCGGCAACAGCCGGGAGAGUCUCUCCGGGACUACAUCCGGCGAUUCUCGAAGCAGCGCACCGAGCUGCCCAACAUCACCGACUCGGAUGUCAUCGGCGCGUUCCUCGCCGGCACCACCUGCCGCGACCUGGUGAGCAAGUUGGGUCGCAAGACCCCCACCAGGGCGAGCGAGCUGAUGGACAUCGCCACCAAGUUCGCCUCCGGCCAGGAGGCAGUCGAGGCUAUCUUCCGAAAGGACAAGCAGCCCCAGGGCCGCCCAUCGAAAGAUGCUCCCGAGGCGUCAACUCAGUGUGGCGCCAAGAAGAAAGGCAAGAAGAAGUCGCAAGCGAAACACGACGCCGCCGACGCGGACCUUGUCGCCGCCGCCGAGUACAAGAACCCUCGGAAACCCCCCGGAGGUGCCAACCUCUUCGACAAGAUGCUCAAGGAGCCGUGCCCCUAUCACCAAGGGCCCGUCAAGCACACCCUUGAGGAGUGCGUCAUGCUUCGGCGCCACUUCCACAGGGUCGGGCCACUCGCGGAGGGUGGCAGGGCCCGCGACGACGACAAGAAGGAAGAUCACCAAGCAGGAGAGUUCCCCGAGGUCCGCGACUGCUUCAUGAUCUACGGUGGGCAAGCGGCGAAUGCCUCGGCUCGGCACCGCAAGCAAGAGCGCCGGGAGGUCUGCUCGGUGAAGGUGGCGGCGCCAGUCUGCCUAGACUGGUCCGACAAGCCCAUCACCUUCGACCAAGCCGACCACCCCGACCACGUGCCGAGCCCGGGGAAAUACCCGCUCGUCGUCGACCCCGUCAUCGGCGACGUCAGGCUCACCAAGGUCCUUAUGGACGGAGGCAGCAGCCUCAAUAUCAUCUACGUCGAGACCCUCGGGCUCCUGCGUGUCGAUUUGUCCUCCGUCCGAGCAGGCGUUGCGCCCUUCCAUGGGAUCAUUCCCGGGAAGCGCGUCCAGCCCCUCGGACAACUCGACCUCCCCGUCUGCUUCGGAACACCCUCCAACUUUCGAAGGGAGACCCUGACAUUCGAGGUGGUCGGGUUCCGAGGAACCUACCACGCGGUACUGGGAAGGCCAUGAUACGCGAAGUUCAUGGCCGUCCCCAACUACACCUACCUGAAGCUCAAGAUGCCGGGCCCCAACGGGGUCAUCACCGUCGGCCCCACGUACAAACACGCGUUCGAAUGCGACGUGGAGUGCGUGGAGUACGCCGAGGCCCUCGCCGAGUCCGAGGCCCUCAUCGCCGACCUAGAAAGCCUCUCUAAGGAGGUGCCGGACGUGAAACGUCAUGCCGGCAACUUCGAGCCAGUGGAGACGGUUAAGGUCGUCCCCCUCGACCCCAGCGGCGACGCCUCUAAGCAGAUCCAGAUCGGCUCCGGGCUCGAUCCCAAAUAGGAAGCAGUGCUCGUCGACUUUCUCCGUGCGAACGCCGACGUCUUCGCGUGGAGUCCCUCGGACAUGCCCGGCAUAUCGAGGGAUGUCGCCGAGCACUCGCUGGACAUUCGAGCCGGAGCCCGACCUGUCAAGCAGCCUCUGCGCCGAUUCGACGAAGAGAAACGCAGAGCCAUAGGCGAGGAGAUCCACAAGCUAAUGGCGGCAGGGUUCAUCAAAGAGGUAUUCCAUCCCGAAUGGCUUGCCAACCCUGUGCUUGUGAGAAAGAAAGGGGGGAAAUGGCGGAUGUGUGUAGACUACACUGGUCUCAACAAAGCAUGUACAAAGGUUCCCUACCCUCUGCCUCGCAUCGAUCAAAUCGUGGAUUCCACUGCUGGGUGCGAAACCCUGUCUUUCCUCGAUGCCUACUCAGGGUAUCAUCAAAUCAGGAUGAAAGAGUCCGACCAGCUCGCGACUUCUUUCAUCACACCCUUCGGCAUGUACUGCUAUGUCACCAUGCCGUUCGGCUUGAGGAAUGCGGGCGCGACGUACCAGCGGUGCAUGAACCAUGUGUUCGGCGAACACAUUGGCCGCACGGUCGAGGCCUACGUCGAUGACAUCGUAGUCAAGACGAGGAAAGCUUCUGACCUCCUUUCCGACCUUGAAGUGACAUUCCGAUGCCUCAAGGCGAAAGGCGUCAAGCUCAAUCCCGAGAAGUGUGUCUUCGGGGUGCCCCGAGGCAUGCUCUUGGGGUUCAUCGUCUCCGAGCGGGGCAUCGAAGCCAACCCAGAGAAGAUCGCAGCCAUCACCAGCAUGGGGCCCAUCAAGGACUUGAAAGGCGUACAGAGGGUCAUGGGAUGUCUCGCGGCUCUGAGCCGUUUCAUCUCACGCCUCGGCGAAAGAGGUCUACCUCUGUACCGCCUCUUAAGGAAGGCCGAGUGCUUCACUUGGACCCCCGAGGCCGAGGAAGCUCUCGGGAACUUGAAGGCGCUCCUCACAAAGGCGCCUAUCUUGGUGCCUCCAGCUGCCGGAGAAGCCCUCUUGGUCUACGUCGCCGCGACCACUCAGGUGGUUAGCGCCGCGAUUGUGGUCGAGAGGCAAGAAGAGGGGCAUGCAUUGCCCGUUCAGAGGCCAGUUUACUUCGUCAGCGAGGUACUGUCCGAAACCAAGGUCCGCUACCCACAAGUUCAGAAGCUGCUGUAUGCAGUGAUCCUAGCACGGCGGAAGUUGCGACACUACUUCGAGUCUCAUCCGGUAACUGUGGUGUCAUCCUUCCCCCUCGGGGAGAUCAUCCAGUGCCGAGAGGCCUCGGGUAGGAUUGCAAAGUGGGCGGUGGAAAUCAUGGGCGAGACAAUCUCGUUCGCCCCUCGGAAGGCCAUCAAGUCCCAGGUUUUGGCGGACUUCGUGGCCGAAUGGGUCGACACCCAGCUACCGACGGCUCCGAUCCAACCAGAGCUCUGGACCAUGUCUUUCGACGGGUCGCUGAUGAAGACGGGAGCCGGCGCAGGCCUACUCUUCAUCUCGCCCCUCGGGAAACACCUACGCUAUGUGCUACGCCUCCAUUUCCCGGUGUCCAACAAUGUGGUUGAGUAUGAGGCUCUGGUCAACGGGUUGCGGAUCGCCAUCGAGCUAGGGGUCCGGCGCCUCGACGCCCGCGGUGACUCGCAGCUCGUCAUCGACCAAGUCAUGAAGAACUCCCACUGCCGCGACCCGAAGAUGGAGGCCUACUGCGAUGAGGUUCGGCGCUUGGAGGACAAGUUCUACGGGCUCGAGCUCAACCACAUCGCUCGGCGCUACAACGAGACUGCGGACGAGUUGGCUAAAAUAGCCUCGGGGCGAACAACGGUUCCCCCGAAUGUCUUCUCCCGGGAUCUGCAUCAACCUUCCAUCAAGAUCGACGACACGCCCGAGCCUGAGGCGCCCUCGGCCCAGUCCGAGGUACCCUCGGCCCAGCCCGAGGCACCCUCAGCUCGGCCCGAGGCGCCCUCGGUUCAGCCCGAGGUACCCUCGGCCCCCGAGGGUGAGGCACUGCGCGUCGAGGAGGAGCGAAGCGGGGCCACACCUGAUCGAAACUGGCAGACCCCGUACCUGCAAUAUCUCCACCUAGGAGAGCUACCCCUCGACCGAGCCGAAGCUCGGCGGGUGGCGCGGCGCGCCAAGUCGUUCGUCUUGCUGGGUGAUGAGAAGGAGCUCUACCACCACAGCCCCUCAGGCAUCCUCCAGCGAUGCAUCUCCGUCGCCGAAGGUCAGGAACUCCUGCGAGAGAUUCACUCGGGGGCCUGCGGCCAUCACGCAGCGCCUCGAGCCCUUGUCGGGAAUGCUUUCCGACAAGGCUUCUACUGGCCGACGGCGGUGGCCGACGCCACUAGAAUUGUCCGCACCUGCGAAGGGUGUCAAUUCUAUGCGAAGCAGACCCACCUGCCCGCUCAGGCUCUGCAGACGAUACCCAUCACCUGGCCCUUCACUGUGUGGGGUCUGGACCUCGUCGGCCCCUUGCAGAAGGCGCCCGGGGGCUACACGCACCUGCUGGUCGCCAUCGACAAAUUCUCCAAGUGGAUCGAGGUCCGACCUCUGAACAGCAUCAGGUCCGAGCAGGCGGUGGCGUUCUUCACCAACAUCAUCCAUCGCUUCAGGGUCCCAAACUCCAUCAUCACCGACAAUGGCACCCAGUUCACCGGCAGAAAGUUCUUGGACUUCUGCGAGGAUCACCACAUCCGGGUGGACUGGGCCGCCGUGGCUCAUCCCAUGUCAAAUGGGCAAGUAGAGCGUGCCAACGGCAUGAUUUUACAAGGGCUCAAGCCUCGGAUCUACAACGACCUCAACAAGUUCGGCAAGCGAUGGAUGAAGGAACUCCCCUCGGUGGUCUGGAGCCUGAGGACAACGCCGAGCCGAGCCACGGGUUUCACGCCGUUCUUCCUAGUCUACGGGGCCGAGGCCGUCUUGCCCACAGACCUGGAAUACGGCUCCCCGAGGACGAGGGCCUACAGCGAUCAAAGCAACCAAGCUAGCCGAGAAGACUCGCUGGACCAGCUGGAAGAGACUCGGGACAAGGCCUUACUACACUCGGCGCGGUACCAGCAGUCCCUGCGACGCUACCACGCCCGAGGGGUCCGGUCCCGAGACCUCCAGGUGGGCGACCUGGUGCUUCGGCUGCGACAAGACGCCCGAGGGAGGCACAAGCUCGCGCCCCCCUGGGAGGGACCGUUCGUCAUCGCCAAGGUUCUGAAGCCCGGAACAUACAAGCUAGCCAACAGUCAAGGCGAGGUCUACGGCAACGCUUGGAACAUCCAACAGCUACGUCGCUUCUACCCUUAAGAUGUUUUCAAGUUGUUCAUAUACCUCGCACCCACGCAAAGUUUAGUCAUCAAGGAAGGGUCGGCCUCGCCUCGGCAAAGCCCGACCCUCCCUCGGGGGCUAAAAUGGGGGGGGAACCCCCUCUGCGUUGAAAUUUUCCUCGAAAAAAGAUCUCUUCUGCCAGAAUAUCUUUCGUGCUUUUUGACUACUUUGAAAAGUGGAUCCUGAAAACGACGGAGUACACAUAAGCAGCCAAGGCUGACCGAGCCGAGGGACUCCUACGCCUCCGGGAUACGGAUACCUCACUCAUCACCUUCUGUGAUAAGUAACUCACGUUCGGAUAAGUGAUUCCGCGGACCGAACAAGUCUUCACGUUCGGAAGUUCUUCUGCCGAAGCGAUCCUUCGAGCCUUCUCGACUGAGUCGGUGACAGAGCCUCAUGGACGGGUAAAAGUGCGCGUAAGCGGCAAGGCCGACCGAGUCGAGGGACUCCUACGCCUCCGGGAUACGGAUACCUCACUCAUCACCUUCCGCGAGAAGCAACUCUCGCUCGCACAAACAUCCCUGUUACUGACAAAAAAGUCCAGAUACUCGAAAUAGGAGGAAAAGAGACGCAGCUUUACAACACAGCGAGGGUGUGUGUUCUGGCCUCGGCGGCCGCAGGAGACACACGCUACAAGACAAUCUGAUCCUGCAGGCUCAGGUCUUGACGCUGGAAGGGAGCAGCAGCACCUUCGGCAUCGACAACACUUUCAGCGAGGUCCGACCUAGCCUCGGACGGCAACGCGGUCCGAAGAUCUCCACUCCGAAGGACGACGUCAUCGCCAUGCCCGGGCCAUCGCUGCCAGGGUCUCCUCCGGGAACCCGGCCCGAGCGGGCGGCUCGGCUGGUCACCCCGGGGCCUCGGCCAGCCGUCCUCCGAGGGCGCCAGCCCGACCCGAGGCUUCGGCUGGUCAACUUCGGCGUCAGUCCCGCUAACGGACGACCCGGCUAGGCUCCGGCCAACCAGGUUUCAUUUUCGAGCCAACUCUGCCCCUGUUCAUGUUGAUAUCGCUACCCCUGGCCUCGGCUCAUCCAAGAGCGGCCAAGGGGUCCCUUAAACUAAGCUAGAGGAGCCUCGGACAACAAGGCCGACCGAGCCGAGGGACUCCUACGCCUCCGGGAUACGGAUACCUCACUCGUCACCUUUACACGGGGCGACUCACGCUUGGUGAAGCGGUUCAGACAACCAACAGGCGAGUCUUAGUGCUCGAAAAUGAGGAAAAAACACGGCUCCGUGCCAAAAUUACAUACAUGUUCAGGCCUCGACAGCCACAAUGAACAAAAACACUAGCAUUCAAAGUGCCAUUACAAACGGAACUCUGGUUCCGCCCCCGCGGGUAUGAACAACCUCGAGCCUGCGGGGCGACGAACACCGGGGGGCCCGCCAGUGACCUCUGCAGCAGCAACCAUGGUCCCAGGUUGGACGCGACCGCCGGAGGGCUCUCGUUCGCGUUCCCGCUCAAGGGACGCGAACCAGCUAUUAAAGCCAAAGAGUGGGCCGCUCCCAAGCGCACCGACAGGUCCUCGCUGCCGUCCUCGCCGCGAAUGCAAGGAAGAGGGCGGAAUGUUGCAUCCUAGCUGGGCAGCAACAGUUCGCCUUCCCUGGCAUGGCUGGAGGACGUUUCCUCCGCAGAGCUGGAGGGUGAUUGCCACCACCAGAAGCUGGAAGAAGAGGUGGCCUGCCGACCCGCGCAGGAGGUAGAGCCCCGGCUUGCCUCGCUCCCCGCCCCAGCGAGGAUGACGAACACCCUCGACGCUGAGGGCGGGAUUGAGAUCACAACCCGGCUUGCCUCUCCCCAUCCAGGAGCUGGAGGUCACCGUCUUGGGUGACCACCAGCGGAGGGGUGCAACCGGGCUGUGUGAUGAAAAUCCUUGAAGCCGAACGAUGGCUGAAAGGUACCAACUCCCACGGAGUUGCGUUCCCCCGACGACAAGGCAGAAAGACGGCGGGCAUCCCCCAUCCGGGGGCUUGGAAGGUGGAAAGACACGAUGCAUAAGGGAGCACGAAGACAUGGUCGCCUUCCAAGGGGGUCACCCUCCUUUUAAAGGCGACUAUCCCUACUUGCGUCCCCAGCCGUCACGGCUGAGUCUUCUCCAACACGCUCCAAGGCCCUCCCCUGCGGCACGGGGGCUGGGUCCCACACGUCAUGCAAGCCGGCUCAGAGCAGAAGAAGCCAAACCGCCGUGCGCGGUGCGCACAACCGCCCAGCGAUUACAAGUGACCCUCCACUUUUGCCUAGACCAACGGGCGAAAGGGGCGGGCAGCCAUGCAGGCGGCAUGCAACCGCGCCAAGUGGGCGCGCUUCUCCGACUCCCAACACGCCCAGCCUGGAGGCCCAGGCCCACGCGUCAUGCAACCGGCGCGCCGAAUGCUUCGUGCAUGCAACUGCACCGCCGCUUGCGCCACCACCGCGCCUCCUCGAUUGCGGAACCAAUACCGCGACUCGAGGCGACCCAGCGCACGACCCAGCAGCGCCAGCCUGGCGCGGCGGUCAGUGCGGCCAAAAAUGGGCCGGCAGUAAUGACGGUGGCAGGCGGGCAGGAGCAGUGGUCACGUCGUCAGCCAAGCUCAUGUCCCAUCCGGGGGCAGCGAGAGAACCCUCCCUCACGGCGUGAAGACAACGCGCCCAUGUUCCGUUCCUCGAACGGCUCGCGCACGCGCAACGGCCGCCCCGCCAACCACUCGCCCCGUCGCAUUAACUUCGCGGCGGGACAGGCGGCGCCUCUGGCAGGAGAAGCGGGCGACGCUUCGCCUUCGCCAUAAUAACCACGCCAAAAAAGGUACGCCGCGUCGUUCGAUUUCGUAUCCUUUUCCUUUUUUCUCUUUCUCUCUCUUGCAACAGGGACCGGGAAAGGGGGAUACCCCGAAAAGGAUCCUUCCCCGUGAAGAAACCAGGCUCCGAGCCUCCCUACUGAUCAGAGGUUCGAAGGCUGGCCCCCCGGAAGGGUUCGACAGCCGCCUCAGAUCGCGUGGGCCCUACACCCACUACUGGUCAGAGGUUCGAAGGCCGGCCCCUCGGAAGGGUUCCACGGCCGCCUCAGGCUACUCGGGCUCCGCGCCCAUUACUGAUCAGGGGUUCGAAGGCUGGCCCCCCGAAGGGUUCACAGCCGCCUCAGACGCCGAGCGAGGGAUGACCAUGGGUACGUUCGAUACAUAACCAAGGCUCGGGCUGCGCUCCCGAGGUACCCUAGGACAUUUCCGAGACUAGCGGGAGCGAUCUUGUAAUGGAAUCCCAUCAGAGGGAGGCAUCGAGCCCUCGGACCCCGUCGCCAGGGGACCGGGUUCGGCAGAUCACCCGCAGGUACUUUUGGGCGUGCCUCUGGGCCCCUAGCCGACCCCUAACGAACGGGGCACGGACGUCCACUCGGAUUACCCGCUUGCAGCUCACCGGAGACACCAUGUUCGGCGCCCAUCGAGGGCAACAUGGCACUUUCCCCCCUCCUCCUUGCGGAAAGGCGACGCAGGGGCGUAUGUAAAAAAGCCGAGUCUGUCCCUGAUCGCCCUCUCGCCCUGUGCAGAGGCUCGGGGGCUGCUCUCGCAAACCCGGCUCCGGCCGAACCGUUGACAGCGUCAACAUACCAGCCCGAGAGCUUGGGACCCAACCGUACACCCGGGCUACGGCCAGCUCGCAUGAGGGAACAACCAGACCAGCCGAAGCAUUACGCGAGGCAUUAAGACCUCGAAGGAGUGAAACCACUCCUCCGAGGCCUCGGGGGCUACACCCGGCGGGUGCGCUCGCGCGCACCCACCGGAACAAAACGCAACCGAGAAAGGCUGGUCCCCUUGCAAAAAAGUGCGACGAAAGCCACCAAGCGAGUGCUAACACUCCCUUCGAGGCUCGGGGGCUACUGUCGGGGACCAUAAUUAGGGGUACCCACAAGGCUCCUAAUUCUCAGCUGGUAACCCCCAUCAGCAUAAAGCUGCAAAGGCCUGAUGGGUGCGACUAAGUCAGGGAUCAGUCCAUUCGAGCGACUCGAUCACGCCUCGCCCGAGCCUAGCCUCGGACAAGGGCAGCCGACCCCGGAGGAUUUCCGUCUCACCCGAGGCCCCCCUCCGACGGCGAACAUAUUUCCGGCUCGCCCGAGGCCCCGCCUUCGCUAAGAAGCAACCCUGACCAAAUCGCCGCACCAACCGACCAAAUCGCAGGAGCAUUUAAUGCAAAGGUGGCCUGACACCUUUAUCCUGACGCGCGCCCCCAGCCGGCAGAGCCGAAGUGACCACCGUCACUUCGCCGCUCCACUGACCGACUUGACGGAAGGACAGCGCCGCCUGCGCCACUCCGACUGCGGUGCCACUUGACAGAGUGAAACUGACAGGCAGCCAGGCCCUGCCGAAGGCAUCAUAGGAAGCUCCGCUUCGCCCGACCCAGGGCUCGGACUCGGGCUAAGUCCCGGAAGACGGCGAACUCCGCUUCGCCCGACCCAGGGCUCGGACUCGGGCUAAGUCCCGGAAGACGGCGAACUCCGCUCCGCCUGACCCAGGGCUCGGACUCGGGCUAAGUCCCGGAAGACGGCGAACUCCGCUCCGCCCGACCCAGGGCUCGGACUCGGGCUAAGUCCCGUAAGACGGCGAACUCCGCUCCGCCCGACCCAGGGCUCGGACUCGGGCUAAGUCCCGGAAGACGGCGAACUCCGCUCCGCUCGACCCAGGGCUCGAACUCGGGCUCAGCCCCGAAAGACGGCGAUCUCCGCUCCGCCCGACCCAGGGCUCGGACUUGGGCUCGGCCCCGGAAGACGGCGAACUCCGCUCCGCCCGACCCAGGGCUCGGACUCGGGCUCAGCCCCAGAAGACGACGAACUCCGCUUCGCCCGACCCCAGGGCUCGGACUCCGCCCUGGCCUCAGCCAACGGCCUCCGCCUCGCCCGACCCAGGGGCUCGGACUCGGCCUCGGCCACGGAAGACAGACUCGACCUCGGCUUCGGAGGAGCUUCCACAUUGCCCAACCUAGGGCGCAGGCCAGCCACGUCAACAGGAGGCGCCAUCAUCACCCUACCCCGAGCUGACUCGGGCCGCAGGGAACAAGACCGACGUCCCAUCUGGCUAGCUCCGCCAGAUAGGCAAUGAUGGCGCCCCGCGUACUCUGUGACGACGGCGGCUCUCAGCCCCCUUACGGAAGCAAGAGGACGUCAGCAAGGACCCAACCGCUCCGACAACUGUCCCUCCGCCAGGCUCCAUCGCUCCUCCGACGGCCACGACAUCACACCAGCUGGGUGCCAAAAAUCUCUCCGGCUGCCACAACGGCAUGUACUUAGGGCACUAGCUCUCCUCCGCUAGACACGUAGCACUCUGCUACACCCCCCAUUGUACACCUGGAUCCUCUCCUUAUGCCUAUAAAAGGAAGGACUAGGGCCCUCUUAGAGAGGGUUGGCCGCGUGGGGACGAGGACGAGACAGGCGCUCGCUUGGAGCCGCUCGCUCCCUCUCCCGCGUGGACGCUUGUAACCCCCUACUGCAAGCGCACCCGACCUGGGCGUGGGACGAACACGAAGGCCGCGGGAUUCCCACCUCUCUCACGCCGGUCUCCGACCGCCUCGCUCUCCCCCCUUCGCACUCGCCCUCGCGCUCGACCCAUCUGGGCUGGGGCACGCGGCGACAUUCACUCGUCGGCCCAGGGACCCCCCGGUCUCGAAACGCCGACAGCUGUCGAUAAUCCAGCUUGAACACCCGGAUGCAUAAACCUGCAAGGCAAAUUUAGGCUUGGGACUUAGGUACCCAACUCUUGUUGGGUCCUACAAGGUUAGUCACAAUUGUCUUAGGGACCCAAAUGCAAGUUUUAUCACCCUUGUAUUUUGCCCCUAAUUUCCUAGCAACUAUCUUCCUAUCCUUUCUACAAAUAGCAAAGGAAGCAUUUAAAGCACGAUAAAUUGUAGAAGGACCAUUCAUAACUUUCCUAGAAACAUGAACAAUAUUCUUUCUAGGCACAUGAUGAACAUAACUCCUAGACAUAUCUCUAUUAUGCAUAUAAGAGGAACUAGAAGCAAACAUAGCAUGCGAAUCAUAAGCAUGUGAAUCAUAACUUCUAUAGUCAUUCUUAGCAUGUCUCCUAUUAUGAUACAUAAAAGCAUGGUUCUUUUUAGUACUACUUGCCAUAGAAGCCUUCCCUUUCUCCUUGGCGGGGAUGGGAACCUUAUGGCUUGUUAAGUUCUUGGCUUCCCUCUUGAAGCCAAGUCCAUCCUUAAUUGAGGGGUGUCUACCAAUCGUGUAGGCGUCCCUUGCAAAUUUUAGCUUAUCAAAUUCACUUUUGCUAGUCUUAAGUUGGGCAUUAAGACUAGCCACUUCAUCAUUUAACUAGCUGGAUGCCCGUGCGUUGCAACGGAAAUAUAUAAAACCAGUAUACUACGAUAACUUAUAUACAAAAUCUGUGUUAUAUUGUUAUGAGAAAAUGUUUCAUAAUCAAUUUGUGAUCCUAGCCAUACAUAAAUUUUGUUAUUUUAAUCUAGUUAUUUCACCACUACAUUGCAACCAUCAGUAUCAUGCAGACUUCGAUAUAUGCCACGAUUUGUAUGGUCUCAUCAUUGGAGAGCACGUUCCACACAUGCCGGAAAAAUUCCCUCGUACAUCGUUAGUCAUCAGACACGCACCACCAUAUGCUCUUGCUUAAACAAAAAGGUAAGUGUGUAUGUGUUUGCAAAGAGAAUUAAAGGCAGGCCGGCAAAAAAGCUACCCUGACGGUGGCGAGGAUGACGAACUGGUCACUGUUGUCGAUCCUCCUCUGUGUCACCUCUGGCGCCAAGAUGACGCCACAAUCCUCGAUAUAGUAGUCGUCGAACGCACGCGACAUGAUGAGUACCGAUGACUCUUGGUUGGGCUGCCCAACGAAGUGCACCCCAGGCUCAUCAGCGAGGUAGUACCCCUGGCCGUUGCACCACCAGAUGCGCUAUUCCACUACAUACAUCAUGUUCGAGGACAAUCACACAACAUCAGCAACGUCCAUCGUCCCAGCGCACAAGAAUUCAUGUCCGGUCAGUAGCGACUUACGUGGCAGGUUGGGCUUCAGGUGGACGAUGAGUUGGACGACGUGAUGGCGUCGUCGUCGGAUGCGGUGUCCAGAACAACCCGAGAGUCGUCGACGUUGGCGACAACCAUGAGGCCCUUCUGCUUAACGACGGACAGCGCGGUGCAGCUGCUCUGUACCGCGUCCAAGCGGCGGCUUCGCGGGAGCUUGUCGUACACAGCGGCGCAUGCGACCACGUAAGACUGCUUUUAGAGGUCGAACUAAUAGUCGUCAAGCUUCUUCUCGUCAUCGAUGAGCGACGACAACGCGAGUGCCUCCUUCUCAUGGAGUUUGUUCGGGGUUUGAAGUAGGAAACAUGAAUUCAUGCUUGGCGUUGGUUUAUGAAAAUGACUCACAAGUCUGAUCCAUGGAAAAAAAAUAUUACGAAGAAAAAAUUUCACACAUGCAAAAAAGGGAAUUUAAGUAUAAUGCAUUAUUCAAACAAAAGAAAUAGCAUGCAAAGCUCUUCUUUAAAUAAUAUUACCUCCAUCCAAAAAUAUAAUUCAAGAAUAUCGGUGAUACUAUAUUGUUAUGUGAAAAUGUUUCGUAAUUAAUUUGUGAUCCUAGCCAUACAUAAAUUUUGUUAUUUCAAUCUAACUAUUUCAUCACUACAUUGCAACCAACAGUACCGUGCAGACUUCUAUACAUGAUAGCUGAAUGCCCGUGCGUUGCAACGGGAAUAUAUAAUACCAGUAUACUACGAUAACUUAUAUACAAAAUAUGUGUUAUACCGUUAUGAGAAAAUGUUUCAUAAUCAAUUUGUGAAUCUGGCCAUACAUAAAUUUUGUUAUUUAUAAUCUAUCUGUUUCACCACUACAUUGCAACCAUCAGUAUCAUGCAGACUUUGAUAUAUAUCACGAUUUGUAUGGUCUCAUUAUUGGAGAGCACGUUUCACACAUACCGGAAGAAAUUCUCUCAUACAUCGUUAGUCAUCGGACACGUACCACCAUACGCUUUUGCUUAAACAAAAAGGUAAGUGUGUGUUUGCAAGACUAAUGGUCAAACAUCGUAUAACCAUAAAGUUAGAAUACUAUAUUAAAUAAAUUAAUCCAAUAGACAUAGAUUAACCCAAUUAACAUAGGAUAAAUAAAUAUCUAAUUAUAAAAGUAUGAAACAUGGUAUAAUCAAUGUUGUUACUGCGUAGUAAAUAUUCAUACGAGACUAACACAACUGGAACGAUUCAAUUUGGAAUUAAAAUGGGGAAGUUACGAAUUUCCAAAGUUUCUAUGUAUUUGAUAUAGGAUUAAUUAGAAAAUCAAUUUUAUUGUUGCUUUCAUGACAAAACAGAGGUAUUAUGUGAUAAAAAUAAUAUUAUAGAAUUAUAGAAAUUGGAAUGAACUCAUUUGAAUUUAAUAUGAAAUUUCCAUGAAUUAAAUGGGUUUCUGCAAUUAUUUUUAAACUAAAAAUCAAUUUAUAAACUCCUUUUCCCUAUUUUCUUUAUUUCCUGGACUGCGUCCCAAAUUCCAGAAAGAUCAGGGGCCAAGCUAUAAAUGUUUUUCUAAACUCAGUGAGCAUACAGAGUGGACGGUGGGUUAAACACAAAAGAUGUCUUAGUUGAAGUUGUACAUAAUUCAAUAUGAGUCAUGUUGGCUAGAGGGUGGAAGGCUAGGCAUUUUGCUCAAUAGAUCCAAGGUUCAAUCCCUAGGUAGCCACGGUUUAAUUUUUUUUCUGCGCGCGGAACCGGGGAGGGCAGAACGGCAGACUACUCUUACCUUCUUAAUAAGUAGUAUAGAUUUGGAAAUUGAAACUAGGUGUUCACUACAAGCAUCAAUGUCAAAAUCCUUACACCUAUUACAAGUUGCAACAAUUUCUACACAAGAUGUUGAUUUACUAGCUAUUUCUAACUUAGCAUUCAAAUCAUCAUUAAUGCUUCUUAAGUUAGAAAUUGUCUCAUGGCAAGAAGAUAAUUCACAAGAAAGCAUUUCAUUUCUUUUAACUUCUAGAGCAUGAGAUUUUUGUGCUUCUACAUAUUUGUCAUGUUCUUCAUACAACAAAUCCUCUUGCUUUUCUAAAAGCCUAUUCUUAUCAUUCAAGGCAUCAAUUAAUUCAUUAAUUUUAUCUACCUUGGUUCUAUCUAGGCCUUUAAAUAAACAUGAAUAAUCUAUUUCAUCCUCAUCACUAGAUUCGUCCUCACUUGAAGAAGCAUAAGUAGAGUUUCGAGUACAUACCUUCUUCUCCCUUGCCAUAAGGCAUGUGUGACGCUCGUUGGGGAAGAGGGAUGACUUGUUGAAGGCGGUGGCGGCGAGUCCUUCAUUGUCGGAGUCGGAAGAGGAGCAAUCCGAAUCCCACUCCUUGCCUAGAUGUGCCUCGCCCUUUGCCUUCUUAUAGUUCUUCUUAAUAAGUAGUAUAGAUUUGGAAAUUGAAACUAGGUGUUCACUACAAGCAUCAAUGUCAAAAUCCUUACACCUAUUACAAGUUGCAACAAUUUCUACACAAGAUGUUGAUUUACUAGCUAUUUCUAACUUAGCAUUCAAAUCAUCAUUAAUGCUCCUUAAGUUAGAAAUUGUCUCAUGGCAAGAAGAUAAUUCACAAGAAAGCAUUUCAUUUCUUUUAACUUCUAGAGCAUGAGAUUUUUGUGCUUCUACAUAUUUGUCAUGUUCUUCAUACAACAAAUCCUCUUGCUUUUCUAAAAGCCUAUUCUUAUCAUUCAAGGCAUCAAUUAAUUCAUUAAUUUUAUCUACCUUGGUUCUAUCUAGGCCUUUAAAUAAACAUGAAUAAUCUAUUUCAUCCUCAUCACUAGAUUCGUCCUCACUUGAAGAAGCAUAAGUAGAGUUUCGAGUACAUACCUUCUUCUCCCUUGCCAUAAGGCAUGUGUGACGCUCGUUGGGGAAGAGGGAUGACUUGUUGAAGGCGGUGGCGGCGAGUCCUUCAUUGUCGGAGUCGGAAGAGGAGCAAUCCGAAUCCCACUCCUUGCCUAGAUGUGCCUCGCCCUUUGCCUUCUUAUAGUUCUUCUUCUUCUCCCUCUUGUUCCCUUGAUCCUGAUCACUAUCAUUGUCGGGACAGUUAGCAAUAAAAUGACCAAGCUUACCACAUUUGAAGCAUGAGCGCUUCCCCUUUGUCUUGGUCUUGCUUGGCUGCCCCUUGCGACCUUUUAGCGACGUCUUGAAUCUCUUGAUGAUGAGAGCCAUCUCUUCAUCAUUAAGUCCGGCCGCCUCAAUUUGUGCCACCUUGCUAGGUAGCAUCUCCUUGCUUCUUGUUGCCUUGAGAGCAAGAGGUUGAGGCUCAUUGAUUGGACCAUUCAAUGCGUCGUCCACGUAUCUUGCUUCCUUGAUCAUCAUUCGCCCGCUCACGAAUUUUCCAAGUAUCUCCUCGGGCGUCAUCUUGGUAUACCUGGGAUUCUCACGAAUAUUGUUUACAAGAUGAGGAUCAAGGACAGUAAAAGACCUUAGCAUUAGGCGCACGACGUCGUGGUCCGUCCAUCGCGUGCUUCCAUAGCUUCUUAUCUUGUUGACAAGGGUCUUGAGCCGGUUGUACGUUUGGGUUGGCUCUUUUCCCCUUAUCAUAGAGAAUCUCCCGAGUUCGCCCUCCACCAACUCCAUCUUGGUGAGCAUGGUGACGUCGUUGCCCUCAUGUGAGAUCUUGAGAGUGUCCCAGAUCUGCUUGGCAUUGUCCAAGCCGCUCACCUUGUGGUACUCAUCCCUGCACAAUGAGGCUAGCAACACAGUAGUAGCUUGUGCGUUUUUAUGAAUUUGCUCAUUGAUAAACAUGGGGCUAUCACUACUAUCAAAAUGCAUUCCACUCUCCACUAUCUCCCAUAUGCUAGGAUGGAGAGAGAACAAGUGACUACGCAUUUUGUGACUCCAAAAUCCGUAGUCCUCUCCAUCAAAAUGAGGAGGUUUACCAAGUGGAAUAGAUAAUAAAUGAGCAUUUGUACUUUGAGGAAUACGAGAGUAAUCAAAAGAAAAGUUUGAAUUAACCGUUUUCUUUUUCUCGUAGUCGUCGUCGUUGUUGUCCUUUUGAGAAGAAGUGGACUCAUCGCUGUCGUCGUAGUAAAUGAUCUCCUUGAUGCGUCUUGUCUUCUUCUUCCCAUCUUUGCGUCUGUGGCCCGAGCCCGAGUCGUUAGGCUUGUCAUCCUUUGGCUCGUUGACGAAGGACUCCUUCUCCUUGUCGUUGAUCACGAUUCCCUUCCCCUUAGGAUCCAUCUCUUCGGGCGGUUAGUCCCUUUCUUGAAGAGAACGGCUCCGAUACCAAUUGAGAGCACCUAGAGGGGGGGGGUGAAUAGGUGAUCCUGUAAAACUUGAAACUUAAGCCACAAAAACUUGGUUAAGUGUUAGCACAAUAAUGCCAAGUGGCUAGAGAGGAGAUCUUGCACAAUACGAUAACCACAAAGAGUCCAACACAGAGAAGACACAGUGGUUUAUCCCGUGGUUCGGCCAAGUACAAAACUUGCCUACUCCACGUUGUGGCGUCCCAACGGACGAGAGUUGCACUCAACUCCUCUCAAGUGAUCCAAUGAUCAACUUGAAUACCACGGUGUUUUGCUUUUCUUUUCUUAUCCUGUUCGCGAGGAAUCUCCACAACUUGGAGCAUCUCGCCUGUUGGGGACUUGUUCUCAAAUGCUUCGAAUUAAGAACAAGGCAACACAGAAAAUGUUAAGUAUUAAGGUCCUUCGUCCUUCAUAACGAUAUAUCCCUUCGGGAUAUAUAGCAUCUCGGACGAAGGUUACAAAGAACAUACCUUCGUAAGCAUAACAACGAAGAAUAAAGCAUUCACAUAAAUCAUGAAAUAAACAUGUAAAUAUUAUCAUAGAAUUAUCUCUACUUGUAUUAAUGAAUAUAAAUGACUUUGAAGUACAAAUGUACCUUCGGUCUUGCGGAAGGCAAAAAGUACGAAUGUGAUGCGAAGGCCAAAAGCAAGUUCGCGUGAACAGUACAGAGGUACUGUUCAUCUAUUUAUAGACACAGGUCGCAGCCUGUGACAAAUUACAAUUAUGCCCCUUGCGGAAGUUUACAGCAUUGACUCGGACAUACAUGUAUAAAAAGGUCAUUCUGCCUCUAUGUCGGUUUAAAACGCCGAAGCUCCAUGAAAAGGGACCUUCGGCCAUCUCUUAGAAACGACUUUGGCCGAAGCUGCUUCUUCGUGUGAGACCUUCGGCAUACCGAAGCACGACCCCAACAGUAGCCCCUUUCGCGGUGCUAGAUCGUUCUUCGUAACGAGCUUGGCCCGUGAAAAAAAACCUCUUCAGCUUCGGGAAGCCGAAGGUCCAAAAAACACCUUCCCUGAGCUCGUUGCGGAGAAACGAUCCGACUUCCGAGCGCGUGCCAAGCCCACUUUGUAGAGUUAUUGUUUGGUCUUUGCGGUCCACUGCACAGCGGGUAUGAGUUACUGCGCGCCUGGUGUAACAGUUCCACCGCUUCGCCUUCCUACCUGCAGCACUAUAUAAACAAACAGGUGGGUGUGAAGUUACCACAGCAUUCAUUGCUAUUUGCACUGUUUCGCUGCCAAAAUUUUUCACCAUAGCCGAAGCUUAAGUCUCAGAAUCGAACGAAGGUGCUUCUCAACGUCCGCUUCGUCAGAAAGAAGAGCUUCGAAGAAAAGAAAAAAGGAAAAAGUUUUUGACUUCCCAAACUUAGAAUCAAAUGGCGAGAAUACGAUCUACUGCCAAAGUUGUACGUGAGGGAGACGAAGCCGAAGGUUCAGACACUGUGCCCAUCUCCGAAGCAAUGCAGCGUUCCGGUCUACUGACUACAGAAGAAAUGCCUGCUGCUGAAGCAGGCCCAACAACUGCCGAAGGAAAAGAAAACAUUGAAGGGACUGACUCCGAAGAUGACUAUCACCUUGCUAUGCCCAGCAAGCCCAGUCACCUGGAUUUUGGGAAAUCAACUGUUUCAAAAGCUGACCUUUCGAAGAUGGUGAAAGCAGGUUAUUUCAAUGAGGACCAGAAGAAGCUACUCCGCUUCGGGGAAGAAGAAACCACCCCGAAGCCAAGGAAGGAUGAGAUUGUUAUUUUCAAGAGUUUUUUAAAAGCCGGGCUUAGAUUCCCUCUCCACGAUAUUGUUGCGGAGAUACUAAGGAGGUUUGGUAUCUACUUUCAUCAAUUGACUCCUAACGCCAUCGUUAGGCUCAAUGUUUAUAUCUGGGCCCUCCGAAGCCAAGCUGUGGAACCAUUUGCUGACAGCUUCUGCCGAGCUCACGAAUUACAUUACCAAACAAAGGCCAGAAAAGAUGGGCUACAUGAUAAUUUCGGUUGCUAUAAUUUUGCCUACCGGAAGACAACAAAGUGUCCUGUCAUCAGCUACCGAAGCAAAUGGCCAGCAGGUUGGAAAUCUGAGUGGUUUUAUGUAAAAGUCGAUGAAGACAAAGAAAAAUUGGUACAAAGCCCUCUGGAGUUAAUCUUCGGAGAGACAAGGCCACAAUGCCGCAUUGGCGACCUAAAAGGUCCCACCUGGGCUGCUCUGGGUGAAUUUGAAAUUAUCUCAGAACAUAUUGGCACCAGGGAUCUAGUUCAAGAGUUCUUGGCAUUCAGAGUUUUCCCUACUCUAAAAGAGUGGGAGAUGCCGAAGCUGGAGGGAGAGAAGAAGAAGGGGGAGCUUGUCCGGCUUCCCUAUUACUUCAAGUUCAAGAAGUUCUUCAAAAAACCCUGCAAAGAAUGGUUAGACACUGUUGAGGUGAUGUGCAACGAAAUCCUGGGGAAUUACUCCAAAAAAGAGGAUCAACUAAUGACAGCAGCCUUCGGUGCCCGACCGAAACGAAGGCUGAACCGAGUGCUUGACGCCCUAGGCUUCGAAUACCCAGACUACGAACAAUUGAACAAGGGCGCCGAGGGCCUCAAAAGAAAGAGAGUAGCCGAAGCUCUGAUCAGGGAUGAAGAAAUACCAGCAAAGGAGAAGAAAGUUCUCAAGAAAAGAAAAAUAUCUGCUCCGAAGCGCAAAUCACCCGAAGAAGAGGAGACCCCCACACCGCCUUCUACCAGCGACGUGGAGGAAAUUUUAAAGGUAAUGACUGAACCCAUGCCUACGAAGCUAAGUCCACUAGGGCUCCAACUGACGAAGCUUUUUGAAAAGGUGGACGAGCCGGAUCAACCGAAGAUAAACAAACCCAAACGGCAAAGAAUUAUUGCGGUAACUGAGGUUAUCGACAAAACUCCACCUAGGUUGUCAAUUCAGAAAGCGGCAGCUGCUGAAGGUAGAGCUUCGGAAGUCGCGGCUACCGAAGCUGCCACACCCGAAGAUGUAAAUUUAGAAACUACUCUUGAAAAUAUUGACAAAAUUUUGACGGAAAACAUUGAAGAAGCUGCCACCGUUACUGAAGAAAUCCUGGCCACAGUGCCAGGGAAAGGGAAAGAAAUAGUCGAAGAAACUCCGGACGACGAAGCCUAUUCUUUCCAGAAUCUAAUUGGGCAGAAACUGACGAAGGACGAAAUAGAAGAACUCAAAGACUAUGCCAAAUCUUGCGGCUACAAGCCAGGAGCCCUUCUAUUUGGGGGUGUAGAUGAUGAAAAACUAGGCUGUAUUCGAGACCAGACUGGAGCUAAGGUAAUCUGUACUCUAUCGAAGAGUAUCGGUUUUCCGAAGUUAGAGACAGACAUCAGCCGCUACCGACGACAACAUAUCGUCGGCAGCUUGUUUUAUUCUAACUUCAAGGUAAACAACCUUUUUCUCUGGUUUUUAUUGCUGUUAACAAUGAAAAUAUUACUUAACAUAAGUUGUUUCUGUUCAGAGCAUGCUACUGAGCAAAGCUCUGAAGAUGCAACAAGACUUGGAGAACAAAAAGCACGAAGCUAUAAUUGAAAUCUUGGAAAGCAAAAUAAAAGAGCAAUCUGCCAUCAUUGAAAAGAAAGACUUCGAGCUCCAAUCGACCGAAGGCUUGCUGGCUGAAACUGAGGCUAAAAUAUUAGAGUUAAAUUCGAAGCUUAUCAAUCAAUCAAAACAAUUUGAUCAGGAGAAGCUAGAACUGAAUUCGAAGCUUAAAGCCGAAGUCCAGACCAGCUCAGAAUUGAAGAAAGCAUUAACAAGCCUUCAAGACAAAUGCUUGAACUUUGGCAAUAAUUGUAUUGGACGAUUAAAGAAGAUAUUUUACUCUGUUGGAGCCAGCAGUGGGAAAUUUAACCCUUCGGCGGAAAAUUUACCCCAGGCCUUCGAUCAUAUUGAAGCUGAAAUCGAAGAGCUUGACGAAGUUAUAGCCGGGCACGGCGACUUCUGUGCCUGGGUGGCUUCUCGGGGUACCGCUGCUGCAUUUCUGAAGGCCGGCUGCGAACAUGGAAAGGUUGUCAACAGGCCCAACUUCACCUUAUCUUCAUCAAUCCUGGAUGAUAUGCCCGACCUCGCCCGAAGUAUCUCCAAUAGAUUUAUAAAAAUGGUAUGGACAAAGGGCGGGCGAGAGAAAGCUGGAGACGAAGCCCGAAGUCAUCUUGAACCAGUAAGAAAUGACAUUUCGUGCUUACCUUUUCCUUUGGGCUUGAUUCUUAUGAUUCCUUGACUCAUGUAGGAUGACGAAGGUGAAGAUGAUGCCUAGGAUAUGUCGCCGAAGUUGUCGUCGAAGCUGAAGCUUAAUGAAGACUAGCAGAAGUGUGCUUUAGAAAAACUCAGGAUAAUUUUGUAACAACUCUUGUAAAUAGAAUUAAACUAUUCUUCAAGGAACUUUGUACAUACCUUGUAAUAUAUUCUUACCCUUCGAUUAAGGUGCUUUGAUGUGGACGAAAUCAGUUUUUUGAGCCGAAGGCGAAAAAACACCUUCCCUUCUUUUCGUACACAACGAAGCAUAAAAGGCCGCUUCCUCUUUUUGCCGAAGCCUUUCCUUACAUAACAAAACAUAAAAGACUGCUACUCUUAUCUGCCGAAGCUUUUCCUUACAUAACAAAACAUAAAAGACUGCUACUCUUAUACACAACGAUUCAUAAAAAACCACUUCUUCGAAACCUUUCUUUUACAUAACGAAUCAUAACAAACCAUUUAUCCGAAACUUUUCUCUGUGCCGAAGCAACCAUUUAGGAACACAAAUGCUAUGAAUGAAUGCUUAUGCAUGCAAAUGCCAUGAUGUAAUGUGCAAAUGAAUGUCCGAAGCGUAUGUCCGAAGCCACACUCAUCCAUUAUUUUCUUAGGAGCAAACACACGUCAGCUCUGCAUUCCCUUAGGAACGACUUUGGAGCAUCUUUGCCUUUUACUUAGGCAGUAUCAGCGUUGACUUUUCGCUGUAAGCUCUGCAUCCCCCUAGGGACGUCUUUGGAGCUUCUUCGUCUUUUACUUAGACGGUAUAAGCUCUGCAUUCCCUUAGGAACGACUUUGGAGCUUCUUCGCCUUUUACUUUCGGCGGAAUCAGCGUUGACUUUUCGCUGUGAGCUCUGCAUCCCCUUAGGGACGUCUUUGGAGCUUCUUCUCUUUUUUAGUUUCGGCACUCGAUGGUGCGCUCUCAGCUUUUACAUUUACAUUCUUUGGGGGAUUUUGCUCUUAUAAAACUAAAAAGAAAAUUACAUAUGAUGGCCCCAUUAAAAACCUUUCUCCCCCUUUAGAAAGGAAAAGGGUGCCAUGAAAAAGAAAAGAAAAGUCAAAAUUACAUCGAGUUAUACAUAAAACCGCCGAAGCUCAUCCGCAUUCCAAGAUCUUGGAAUUUCAUUGCCAUCCAUGUCCUUCAGUCUGUACGAACCAGGCCUUGACGAAGAUGCUACUAAGAAAGGCCCUUCCCAUUUCAGUUGCAAUUUGCCCACUGUAUCCGGAUUGGCCACUCUCCGAAGCACCAAGUGUCCUGGCUCAAUAUUUUUUAGCCGGACCUUUCUAUCUCGCCAUUUAACUGUUUCAGCCUGGUACUUAUUGAUAUUCUCCACGGCCUGAAGCCUGAUCCCUUCUAAGGCAUCUUUUUCCACGAGACAAGUAUCUUCGGGACCUGAUUCUGCCGAAGCUACCACUCUUAUUGAUCCAGCUUUGGCUUCUUCCGGGGUUAUUGCUUCGUCACCAAAUAACAACUUAAAUGGGGUAAAGCCUGUAGAUCUUGAUGUUGUUGUGUUAUGGCUCCAUACCACUUUGGUAAGCUGAUCUGGCCACUUUCCCCUUGGUUGAUUAAAGAUUAGCUUCAUUAUUCCUGUCAUUAUGAUGCCGUUGGCCCUUUCAACAAGCCCAUUCGACUCCGGGUGCCUGACUGACGCAAAGUGGAUCUUCGUGCCAAUUUGAUCACAAAAAUUUCUGAAUUCUUCGGAGUCAAAUUGUGUUCCAUUAUCUACAGUUAUAGCCUUCGGCACUCCGAAGCGACAGACAAUAUUCUGCCAGAAAAAUUUUUGGACAGUGGCCGAAGUUAUUGUAGCUAAUGGCUUCGCCUCAAUCCACUUGGAAAAAUAUUCCACAGCAACUACAACAUAUUUCAGAUUGCCUUGAGCCGGUGGUAAUGGGCCCAGCAAAUCGAGGCCCCACCUUUGCAAUGGCCAGAUGGGUUGUAUUAGCUGUGUCAAAGACGAAGGUUGUUUUUGAUCUCUUGCACAUUUCUGACAACCUUCGCACUUUUGAACUAACUCAGCUGCAUCCGAAGCUGCCUUCGGCCAAUAAAAUCCUUAACGGAACACUUUUCCAAGUAACGGCCUGGAUCCGAUGUGGGAUCCACAAAGGCCUGCAUGUAUCUCCUUCAUCAACUCUAUACCUUCGGCUCUAGACAAGCACUUGAGCAGCGGGGCACAAACUCCAUGCUUGUAUAACUCCCCUUCUAUAAUGAUAUACGGACGAGCUCUUGCCUCUAUUCUUUUAUUAUAAGCUUCGUCAUCUGAUGGGAAGUUGCCCUGAAGGUAAGAAAUUAUUUCAGUUCUCCAAUCUUCACUGUACACAGGAGAAAUAGUAAGAACUGCUCUUUCAAGUAACUCCACUGAAGGUGCCUUUAUUGUUUCGAAGAAUACAUCCGAAGGUAGCGGCAGCCCCUGUGCUGCAGACCUGGCUAACAAAUCAGCAUGUUCAUUUUGCCCUCGAGGGAUAUUCUUAACAGAAAAUCCUUCGAAGGAAGCUUCGAUCCUUCGGACUGUGUCUAGGUAUUUUUCAAGCUUCGGGUCUUUAGCCUUGCAACUUUUGUCAAUAUGACCCGAAACAAUCUGAGAAUCAGUUUUAAGGAUCGCCCUCCUGAUCCCCAUCGCCUUUAGUUUCCGAAGACCCAGGAGCAAGGCUUCGUACUCAGCAAUAUUAUUUGUGCAGCUGAAGUCCAGUCUUGCUGCAUAGCAAGUUUUAACCUUGGACGGUGAAACCAAAACAGCAGCUGCUCCUGCUCCGAAGGUUCCCCAGGAGCCAUCACAAAACACUGUCCAUGCUUCGGCAUCUUUAUUCGCUUCUCCGCCCUGAGCCCCUGGCGUCCAGUCGGCAAUAAAAUCUGCCAAUGCUUGAGACUGGAUCGAGGAUCUGUGCACAUAAUCAAUGUAAAAUUCAUUAAGCUCCGCAGCCCAUUUUCCAAUUCGGCCAGUAGCUUCUUUAUUUCUCAUGAUAUCUUUCAACGGCUGCGAAGAAGGAACAAUAAUAUUAUAUGCCUGAAAAUAAUGCCGAAGCUUCCUGGAUGCCAUUAGAACGGCAUACAACACCUUCUCCAGUUCUGUAUAAUUUUUCUUUGAGACACUAAGGACCUCAGAUACAAAAUAUACUGGGACCUGCUUCUUGAUUUGUCCAUCAAACUUCUCCUGCACAAGUGCCGCACUUACUGCUGAGUGCGAAGCUGCCACAUACAACAACAGAGGAGCCCCUGGCAUUGGUGGAGUUAAUGUUGUUAGAUCUAUCAGGUAUUGCUUGAGUUCUUCGAAAGCUUUUUGUUGAGCUGGGCCCCAUUGAAAGACUUCAGCUGAUUUUAGCACCUCGAAGAAGGGUAGAUUUCUUUCCGCUGAUCUGGAUAUAAAUCUGUUAAGAGAAGCCAGUCUUCCUGUCAAUCUUUGGGCCCCCUUUCUUGUGGUUGGUGGCUCCAUUCGAAGUAUAGCUUCGAUUUUAUUUGGGUUAGCUUCAAUUCCCUUUGUUGAAACCAAGCAUCCAAGGAACUUACCCUUCUUUACUCCGAAGACACAUUUUUCUGGAUUCAGCUUCAGACCAGCUUGUCUGAAGCUGGCGAAGGUCUCCUGCAGAUCAGCAAUAUGGUCUUCUUGCUUCGUGCUUUUUACAAUAAUGUCAUCAACAUAGGUCAACACAUUUCUGCCUAUCUGAGAUUGGAGAACCUUCGCAGUCAUCCUGCUGAAACUCCCUCCAGCAUUCUUAAGCCCCUCAGGCAUCCGAAGAUAGCAAUAUGUACCACUUGGGGUUAUGAAACUAGUCUUCGGCUCAUCCUCCUUUUUCAUCCAGAUUUGAUGAUAACCUGAGUAACAAUCCAGGAGACUCAUGAGUUCCGAAGAAGCUGCUGCAUCAACUAAAGAGUCUAUCCUUGGCAGCGGGAACUCAUCCUUCGGACAAGCCUUGUUGAGAUCUGUGAAAUCAAUACACAUUCUCCACUUUCCAUUGGCCUUCUUCACCAUAACAGUGUUAGCUAGCCAUUCUGGAUACUUCACUUCUCUGAUAACUCCUGCACUUAGGAGUCUUUUUACUUCGUUGCGAGCCCCUUCGGCCUUGUCAUCAGACAUUUUCCGAAGCCUCUGCUUGCGGGGUCUGAAGGAUGGGUCAACAUUGAGCGAAUGUUCAAUAACAUCCCGAUUCACUCCACAAAGAUCAUUGGCUGACCAUGCAAAAACAUCUUUAUUGUUGAAUAAAAACCUUAUCAAGGUUUUCUCUUGAUCUUCAGAUAAUUGCGAGCCCAAUAGCACCUUCUGCUCUGCUAUAUCCUCACACAGCAGCAUGGGCUUCGGCUGAUCAGCCGAAGCUGCUUUUUCCCUCCUGAACUUGUACUGUCCACAAGCUUCAACUCCAUCUAUAUUAUGGAUUGCCUUGGAAUCAGUCCAGCUUCCUUCGGCCCUUCUGGCAGCUUCCUGACUCCCAUGAAUAGCAAUAGGCCCUUGGUCCGAAGGUAUCUUCAUGCAGAGAUAAGCUGGGUGAAGAAUUGCUUCAAAAGCAUUUAGGGUACCACGACCAAUGAUGGCGUUGUAGGGGUAUUCCAUGUCAACAAUAUCAAACACAAUUUGCUCAGUCCUUGUGUUAUUAACAAAUCCGAAGGUUACCGGCAUGGUAAUCUUCCCGAGUGCCACAAUCUGCCGCCCUCCGAAGCCACAAAGAGGGUGCGUAGCAUCAUGAAUCUUGUCUUCAGGCUCUUGCAUCUGUCUGAAGGCUUUGGCAAAUAUAAUGUCAGCUGCACUGCCUGUGUCAACUAGGACAUUGUGAACCAGAAACCCUUUGAUCACACAAGAAAUGACCAUAGCAUCAUUGUGAGGAUAGUCCUUGAGCUGAAGAUCUUCCUGAGAGAAGGUAAUUGGAAUGUGAGACCAUUUUGACUUAAUGAAGGGUCCCUGCACUCCAACAUGCUGUACCCUUCUCUGAGCCUCCUUCUUCUGCUUUUUGUUAGCUGGCUCUGAGCAAGAACCGCCUGUUAUCGGGAGCACCAGCUUCGAAGCCGAAGCAGCUCCAGCUUGAGUGUUGAACGAAGCCAUCAGCUCAGAAAGGUGGAAGUGAGUCGACCGGAGGUGGGCGCCAAUGUUGGGGACUUGUUCUCAAAUGCUUCGAAUUAAGAACAAGGCAACACAGAAAAUGUUAAGUAUUAAGGUCCUUCGUCCUUCAUAACGAUAUAUCCCUUCGGGAUAUAUAGCAUCUCGGACGAAGGUUACAAAGAACAUACCUUCGUAAGCAUAACAACGAAGAAUAAAGCAUUCACAUAAAUCAUGAAAUAAACAUGUAAAUAUUAUCAUAGAAUUAUCUCUACUUGUAUUAAUGAAUAUAAAUGACUUUGAAGUACAAAUGUACCUUCGGUCUUGCGGAAGGCAAAAAGUACGAAUGUGAUGCGAAGGCCAAAAGCAAGUUCGCGUGAACAGUACAGAGGUACUGUUCAUCUAUUUAUAGACACAGGUCGCAGCCUGUGACAAAUUACAAUUAUGCCCCUUGCGGAAGUUUACAGCAUUGACUCAGACAUACAUGUAUAAAAAGGUCAUUCUGCCUCUAUGUCGGUUUAAAACGCCGAAGCUCCAUGAAAAGGGACCUUCGGCCAUCUCUUAGAAACGACUUUGGCCGAAGCUGCUUCUUCGUGUGAGACCUUCGGCAUACCGAAGCACGACCCCAACAUCGCCCUUACACUUUUGAUGUUCACAGAGAAUCACGGAGUAAGGGAGGGAUGAGCAACGCACACAAGACUCAAAAAUCAGAGCAACAACACGCACACAAGUCGCAACAAGAGCUCGCAACACAACCCAAUGAGUUUACAACUCAACAAGAGCUCUAGAUGCUAUCACAAAGAAACAAAUGCGUGGAAUCGAAGUCUCGGUGCUUAGGAUUGCUUUGAGUAUGCUUGGUGUACUCCUCCAUGCGCCUAGGGGUCCCUUUUAUAGCCCCAAGGCAGCUAGGAGCCGUUGAGAGCAAUCUGGGAAGGCAAUUCUUGCCUUCUGUCGUCUGGCGCACCGGACAGUCCGGUGCACACCGGACACUGUCCGGUGCCCGAUUUCCUUCCUAAAAUGGCGCAGCCGACCGUUGUAGAUUUGGGAGCCAUUGGCGCACCGGACAUGUCCGGUGCACACCGGACAAUCCGGUGCCCCCUUCUAGCCGUUGGCUCGGCCACGUGUCCCGCGCAGAUUGCGCGGCCGACCGUUGGCCCGGCCGACCGUUGGCUCACCGGACAGUCCGGUGCACACCGGACAGUCCGGUGAAUUAUAGCCGUACGUCGUCGGUGAAUUCCCGAGAGCGGCCAGUUCGCUCGAGUCAGCCUGGCGCACCGGACACUGUCCGGUGCACCACCGGACAGUCCGGUGCUCCCAGACUGGGCAGAUUCUUGGCUGCUCGAGCCAAGACAUUUCCAAUUGGAUUUUUCAUGUUUCCAGCACUUAGACACAAUACAUUAGUCCAUAAAACAAUGUACUAAGUCUGAGAAACAUACCUUUAUCCUUGGUUUGUACUUUGUCCACCAUUUUACAUUUAAGCACUUGUGUUAGACACUAAAUCACCAAAAUACUUAGAAAUGGCCCAAGGGCACAUUUCCCUUUCAGGUACUAGUCUUGCUAGUGAAUGUGGUGAAGUGAUAUUGUGUCUGUGUGUCACCACUCGACAGGGCUUAUUGAAAUGACUUUGAAAUUUAGUUACCAAAAAAAGAGAACAAGCUAAAUUUAGUUACCAAAAAUGUGGCGAAGUGAUACUGUGUCUGUGUGUCACCACUCGCCAGAGCUUAUUGAAAUGACUUUGGAAUUUAGUUACCAAAAAAAAGAGAACAAGCUAAAUUUAGUUUCCAAAUAAAAAAGAGAACAAGCUCAGAGUAGCGAGUGUCAUCUCCACAAAGUUCAGAAGAUCGCAUCGGACCCACCGGUGCUAAUGCAUUUCAUCACAGCUUGUUAUACCCUUGUUAGUUAACCUUGAUGGCACGAUUUAUAUGCUCAGAUAGGGCUUGGUGUCUGGAUAGUGUGGUACUAGUCUUGCUAGCGAAUGUGGCGGAGUAAUAAUGUGUGUCACCACUCGCCACCGUGCUUUAUACUUAUUCAUCACAGCUUGUUAUACCCUUGUUAAUUAAUCUUGAUGGCACGAUUUAUAUGCUCAGAUAGGGCUUGUUGUCUGGACGGUGUGGUACUAGUCUUGUUAGUGAAUGUGGCGAAGUGAUAUUGUGUCUGUGUGUCACCACUCGCCAGAGCUUAUUGAAAUGACUUUGAAGUUUAGUUACAAAAAAAAGAGAACAAGCUAAAUUUGGUUACGAAAAAUGUGGCGAAGUGAUACGGUGUCUAUGUGUCACCACUCGCUAGAGCUUAUUGAAAUGACUUUGAAAUUUAGUUACCAAAUAAAAGAGAACAAGCUAAAUUUAGUUUCCAAAUAAAAAAGAGAACAAACUCAGAGUAGCGAGUGUCAUCUCCACAAAGUUCAGAAGAUCGCACCGGACCCACCAGUGCUAAUGCAUUUCAUCACAGCUUGUUAUACCCUUGUUAGUUAAUCUUGAUGGCACAGUUUAUAUACUCAGAUAGGGCUUGCUGCCUGGACGGUGUGGUACUAGUCUUGCUAGCGAAUGUGGCGGAGUAAUAUUGUGUUACCACUCGCCACCGUGCUUUAUACUUAUUCAUCAUAGCUUGUUAUAGCCUUGUUAAUUAAUCUUGAUGGCAUGAUUUAUAUGCUCAGAUAGGGCUUGUUGUGUGGACGGUGUGGUACUAGUCUUGCUAGUGAAUGUGGCGAAGUGAUACUGUGUCUGUGUGUCACCACUCGCUAGAGCUUAUUGAAAUGACUUUGAAAUUUGGUUAAAAAAAGAGAACUAGCUAAAUUUAGUUACCAAAAAUAUGGCGAAGUGAUACUAUGUCUGUGUGUCACCACUCGCCAGAGCUUAAUGACUUUGAAAUUUAGUUUAAAAAAAUAAACUCAGAGUAGCGUGCUAGCGAAUGUGGCAGAGUAAUAUUGUGUUACCACUCCCCACCGUGCUUUAUACUUAUUCAUCAUAACUUGUUAUAGCCUUGUUAAUUAAUCUUGAUGGCAUGAUUUAUAUGCUAAGAUAGGGCUUGUUGUGUGGACGGUGUGGUACUAGUCUUGCUAGUGAAUGUGGCGAAGUGAUACUGUGUCUGUGUGUCACCACUCGCUAGAGCUUAUUGAAAUGACUUUGAAAUUUGGUUAAAAAAAAGAGAACUAGCUAAAUUUAGUUACCAAAAAUAUGGCGAAGUGAUACUGUGUUUGUGUGUCACCGCUCGCCAGAGCUUAAUGACUUUGAAAUUUAGUUUAAAAAAACAAACUCAGAGUAGCGAGUGUCUUCUCCCCAAAGUUCAGAACAUUGCAUCUGACCCAUUAGUGCUAAUGCAUUUCAUCAUAGCUUGUUGUACGCCCUUGAGAUUAACCAUCACAGUACAGAUUAUAUGCUCAGGUAUCCUUGAUAUUUGGGCCAUGUGGUACUAGUGUUGCUAUUUGCUAGCGAUUGUGGCGGUGUCUGUCAGCACUCGCCAGCUUAGCCGCAUGGGCUCGCGCAGGAACCUCUAUUCUGUUUCUAAACCAUAUCGAGCCUUUAGUGGAGCGUUUCAUGGGCCAUGUUUUCAUGUGGUGGGCUAAACUGAAGCAGCGAGUCCACAAAGCAUCAGUUCAACCCGACGGCGACACUGCAUUGAGAUUGACAGCUAGCGGACUGAGAGUUUUCCUUCACAUGAUGAGUACAUGACAUGAUAGCGCAGUGAUAGCGCAGCUAGGGAUGAUGCAGAGGCUGGGCGCGGAGUGACGGCACAUACUGAGGCGAGUGGCAGCACCAGCGAGUCAUCUGCGGCGGCGGUGCUGGUGCGGGUGCGGUCCUGCCUCUGCUGCUCUGCAUGUUCGCAUGCCACCCUGCUCAGCGACGUGCGCCGGUCGAUGGUCUCCGCGAUCUGCCCGAACGUAAUGCAUAGCACGGGCACUGUCACGUCACGCAGCCUGCAGCAUGGCAAUGAUCAACCGGCACAGUCCCUGCGGCUGCGUGCGUCGAGCGAUCCCACACUCUCACGGUUGCUGCGGCCUGCGGUCGUCAAAGCAGUCGCACAGCCCGGUGGGCCAGGCGGCGACGGUGCACUAGCACUGCCAUGGAACGAUCACGUUCUUCUCUGCCGUGUGGGCUCAACGUCUCAGGUAGUCAGGUGUGCCUGGUUCGGAUAAGAUCGUCCAAGUCUGCCUAGAUACCGACGUUCAGUAGCGUAACAUGUUUUUUUCUUAAGACCAAAGACCAUUGUUCUCCGGAAACAUGAUUGAUCGAUGUACCACGACAUUAGGUCUGGUCUGGUACGGUCAUGGUCUUAUUAGUAAAGACAGAACCGUUGCGAGCUAGCCAAAAGGCUCGCAACAAAUGCAAGACAGCAGAAAAACCAUCUUAGGUCUCCUUUUCCUCUGCAGAAGGUUAGUGGUUGUGGGUGUUAAUUUCCAAAGAGGAGCGUCAUGGUAAGUAGUCCACUGUCCACCAGCAGCAUGUGUCCGUGGAAACAUGAAUGUUUCCCUGCCCACAUCAACGACCAUAGCAAAUAUCAUUGUGCGCGCGCGCGCGCAUGUAAAUUAAAUGGCAUGGUUUUGCUUAACUUCUCCGUAGACUGAUCCUCUGGUAGGUACUUUGUGUUGGAGUUGUUCAUCGAGUUGUUCAAUGUGGUCCACCAACCACUAUCAAAGUAGUUUGUGUUGGAGUUGAAUCUGUGAAUCCGCCUUCCUUGCAUCCUUUCCUUUUUGAGAAUUCUAAAACCUAAAUGUCAGUGGGCAUGAUAACAAUGAUGCAAAGACGCGCCUACCGAGUCCUUGCGGAUGGUAAUAUGAUAACAGCCACGUUUAAAUUUAUUCCAGUUAAUAGUUAUAUUCAAACAAUCUAGCUAAUAGUUUAGUUCGUUACCUACUUUUAGCAAAUUAGUUAAUAUUUAGGUAGCUAAAUUCACUAAUAUUUUUUUAGCUAUUAAUUAGCUCUAUUGCAUUCAAGUAUCCAUAACAUGGUUGAGGCGCCGCCCACAAGCCGAGGCAGUAUGGGGGUGUUCAGGGAUCAGGGUCUAUCCAAGCUAAUAAGCCAGUUCAAGUAGUAUCGUUAGGUAGCUUGCACACGUAUUUCCGGGAUCUUCACUUCGUUUUAAUGCAGAGCCUAGCCCACGAGCCACGAUGGCUGACGGCGUAGGAGAGCGGAGAGCCAAGCCGCAUGUGCACGCACUUUGAGAAUGCUUUUUAGUUUUUUUUUCGUUAUAUCUUCUACUUCCUCCGUUUUACAAAGAUGUCGUUUGACUUUUUUAUACCAAAUUUAAUCUGCUUGUCUUAUUUAAAAUAUUUAUGAAAAUAUAGAAAAAUUUAGUUUAUAGUUAAAGUAAAUAGUACGAUAAACUAAAUCAAAAUUAAAAUGAACGAUAAUUAUAAUUUUUUUAAAUAAAACAAGCCGGUCAAACUUGAUCUCAGAAAAGUCAAAUACAUUCUUUCUGUGGUACAUGGAGUAAAUGAAAGAUUUAAUCAGUCAGACCACCUAGUUAGGCCCCGUUUCAAUCUCACGGGAUAAACUUUAGCUUCCUGCUAAACUUUAGCUAUAUGAAUUGAAGUGCUAAAGUUUAGCUUCAAUUACCACCAUUAGCUCUCCUGUUUAGAUUAUAAACGGCUAAAAGUAGCUAAAAAAAAGCUGCUAAAGUUUAUCUCGCGAGAUUGAAACAGGGCCUUAGUAUAUGAGCACUAAGCAACACUGUUAUGUACAACCGGCCAAGUAGCGACCAUGAUGCUGUUCCUCUCCAUAGUUUAUCGUAUUGUAGCGCUAAGGCUACAAAAGGAAGACAAAAACCUAUCACAUUGCCACACUAACCCGCACUGAUGUUGAAACCGGACACAUUCUGCAUCACAAAUCUCGAAAUGGAUUUAAUAGUAUCUACCUUACCAGAAAAGCCUUACACAAAUAAAAAAAACGAUGGUGCAGUACCAAAGAAGCAUGAGCAUCCACAUUACGGCUUCAUUUGGAUUUGAAAACAUUUUGUUCUUGAAGGCGUACAAGAUUGCUGGGGCACUCCAGUUCUCGGAACGUCAAUGGCUUCGAAUAUCUUCCUUGGUCUAUAUAUUUCAAUGGCAGGGAGAUCCAAAUCUUCUGUAAAUGUCUGCCCACGUAUCAAUGGAUUCACAGAGAUAAUCAAUAUCUGGCACGCAAUUCAUUCAAAUACUGGACGUAUGUGGCAAAUGAUCAAGCCGCCCAUUCAAUAUUUGACGAGCUCGCGCGCUUCGGUACUGCAGCCGCUGGUGUAGCGCUUCUGACAUUUGUUCAAAAAAUUCGGGAUCCCAUCUCUGAAUCAAAAGGGGAUCCUCGGCAUAGCAUAUGUAUAUUGAUGUAACAGCACUUUCCACAACCACAACAGUUAGUCCAACCUGCAAAAUUGAGCAGACGUCAAUCUUGACAGAACUAGCAGAGAUUGUACUGUAUGAGAAAGAAAACUUGGACACGGUUUUCCUUUCCUUAGUUACUAGUCAUGCAAAUUCAUAUCGAGAUAUUGGCACUUACCAGUAUCAUACCCAUCAGCAUGGAUGUUGAACCAACCAUAACAGCUUUAUCACUUUGUUUGAAAUAUGUCCAAACGCCCAUGCAGGUUCCAGUAAUCAAUCCACCUAAAAUGGUGCUCAUUAGAAGGAUAGCACCUGAACAGUCAUAAGCAACAAGUGAUUCGAUGCCUGUGGAUUGAAACAGCUCCCAAGCAUCCCUAGCUGAGCGAUUGAAACUCUGUCCAUUAACUGCUAUCUGAAAAUGGCAAACUAUUUUUAGGGCAUUGAUUCGAUAGCAUGAUAUCAACAGUCAAUAUUUCAUACCAUGAAAUAUAGACAAAUUGUUACAAUAAUAAGUUUUCACAUUUCAAUAAAAGCAGCGAAUGGGUCACAAAUCACAUGCAUUUGUGCAAAAAUAUCCAGGCAAACUAAGGUACUUUGAUUGGCAGAAACUAAACCUUAUAGCUUAAAACAAUAAGAAAAACACUGUCAGUGUCAACAAACAAAUGAGAAAGAGAAAACAGCUGGAACAUGUAGUUUUUUCAAAUAGGCAUGGUCUACAUCUUGAAAACUACUGAAGAGAUAAACAUACUCACCUGUACAUAUGCAUAUUUGUUGAAGAAGCGAACAAGGGUCUCCACAAUAUGAAACAAAAAAUCAAUACAACAUAGCAAACACUCAUUGCUGCCAAUUUUAGAACGAAUUCCACGAAUCUGUAAGGUGUGAGGCAAAAAAGAUAAAGGCGAUGAGAACUAUAAAAAGGAAGCUAAAUGACAGAGGCUUUUCCACAUGUGCAAUUAUAAGUUUGCAAUUCUAUACGAGUCAUUAAAUAUGUUGACCAGUCAUUUGUGCCAUUUAUUCAAACUUUUUUCCUUCCAUGCCACUUCCAAUCGGAUUUGACUCCAAUAGCGUCAAACUGCGGUGGGAAAAGUCCAAAAUACACAUGUCUAAUGCAUCUUAGCAAUCUCAAAUGAAAAAAAAUCUCAAAGCUAGAAAGUUGUAGAUCUCAACGAGAUCAUUAAAACGCUAAAAAAAGUACAAAGUUUCAGCAACAUAUUCAUCACAUACAAACGCUUAUCACUUUAGUCAUAUCUUUUCUGUAAGCAGUCGAAUGAAGAUACUUUUCAUAAGAAAAUUGUAGAUCUCCACAAGAAGUCGGUAAGUCGCUAAAAAAUAAUACAAUAUUUCAGCAGCAUAUUCAUCGUGUAACACCUUCUUAGACCUUGUUACCUUUUUCUUAAUAUAUAUAAUGGUGCAGUUCUCCUGCGCAUUCUAAAAAUAUAUAUAUAUAUAUAUAUAUAUAUAUAUAUAUAUAUAUAUAUAUAUAUAUAUAUAUAUAUAUAUAUAUUUUGGGCGGAAUCAAACGAAUAUACAUUUUAUAUGAAAAGUGUAGAUUUUGAAAAGAUCUACGACUUUUUCGUUUUGAUUUUUUUUACUUGAGCUUGUUAAGAUGCUACAAAAUAGUGGCACAUUCAGAUUUGAGGGUAUUUUGGACUUUUACAUCGCAGUAUAACACCAUUAUAAAUCUCACGGAAGUGGCAUGGAGGACAAAAAAAAUCAGACCGGUAGCACCUGUGACUGAUCAAUUUUUUUAAUGGCCUGUAUGAAAUGAAAUUGCAAACUUUAAUAGUGGUGCACAACGAAAACCCUCUAGAAAGAGGGAGUAAGAUGCAAACCUCCCAUCGCAAAGUCCUAAUAGCAGCGGUAAAAAGCGAUCCAUAGCAAAUGCUUCCAAAUGAAGUUGUCACAGCAUACUGAAGAGAUUUCAGAAGAGGUUUUGGGGGCAUUGUUGCAGCAGCUGGACCACCAUGAAUGAGAACGAGGAAAACCAUCCCUGAGACAAUGACAUGGACUGUAUUGCUAAGAACAGCUCCAGUCCAAAAUAAACUGACUGAAAAAAUCUGCAAAUACAAGGGAUGUUAUUUAAAAAACAUCUGAAUAAUAAAGGCACUAAAUAUUCAUAUAGAAGUAUGGUAAAAACUUGCCAGCUCACCAAAAGAAGCCACCAUUGCCCACCAUUUGGUAUGCCAAAGGCAACAAUGCCAGAAAUUCCAAAGGACCAUAAUGCCAUCCAACAAAGCAUGACUAGCACAAAUGCAUAAGCAAUUCUCAUAACAUCAGGAAGUUCCCGUACCAUUCUUACUGCCUUCUGCAGUACUAGCAUUGUGAAGGGAAACCUAGCAAAAAGAAACACAGUAACUUCAAUGCAAAACAAAGAAGCAUACAAUGCUCAAACAGAGGUAGAUAUUGCCCAUGUAGGUAUAAAGGUACUGUUUCCAUGUGAUUUAGCAUGCAAUUUGAAUUCUAAAAGUUCCAGAAUAAACAGGUUGGGGCUCCACAUUACAAAUUAAAGAGGCACAAUUAUUGGAUUAUUGCAGUGUGCCUUUGGGCACAACAUUCAGCAAAUAUACAGGCUAGACAAGUGUGGCUAACAACCAGAGAAACCAAUGAAUAAAUGUUUGAAGAUAGCAUGGAUACAAAAUGAAGAAGAAUAGGCUCGGCUAGAUGAAGAUAAUAUACUUUGCUCCUAAGAGCUAUUUACACUGCUGCAACUGACUGUCACAGGCAUGGGUCACGCACAUGUGCCCUGUUGGAGUGUUGGUGAUAGACCUACCAUCCAGGUUCGACUCUCAGUGGGAGCAAAUUUUAGGUUGUGGAUAAAAAUCCCUUUCCUAGUCUCACGCCCUAAAGCAUAUACGGGGCCGCUUUGUAUGUGCGGGUUAGGGAUUCGAGAAUUUCUCGACCUACAUGAGAAGAUCUUAGCAAAAAAAAAAACUCUGAGGUUGUCUUACCCUUGAAGGUUGAGUUUUUUUAUAUAUAGGCCUGCCAUACAUGACUUUCUUUAACUGGAAAUCCAGCAGAGAAUUGCUCAUUUUUUUAGAAAAAGCAAAUCAGGUGAGGUCAUAAGGUUUCAGGAAUAGAUACUAUGGCUCCACCUCCAUUUCAUAUAACGUUUUUUUUCAAAAGCAAUCUACUAGGGAGCACAAGGAGCAUGACCACUGAUCACAUAUUACUGAUAGGCCACAACAUCAGACUUCCUACGACACAUAAUAGUGACUAUUUGCUGAGUGGCAAAACAGAUACAAUGUACCAAAUGUCCAGUUUUAGAACAUUGUUUGUCAAAUUCUACCAGUUACUACAUCUGUAGCACUAACUGUUCAGUAGUCUGCCAUUAAAAUGCAUCUGACAGUGCACCGUGGACACCAGUAGUCUAAACCAGAUUACAAAAAAAAACAUAACAAAUUAUAGCUUAAAGUGCACUUAUCAGUUCCCAACUUCAAACAACUGGUUGAUUUAUCUCAAAGAUGUGAUCACAAUAUGUAAAAAGUGGCACAAAUCUAUGCUAACAUAUGUGACGCUUUGACUCACACGUUAAAAAAACCAUAUCAAUCAAGGAAGCAAAGAAGAUUAGCGUUAUGGCACACGAGUGCAACCACAGCUAUGCAACACGUGCAGACAACUCUCUGAAAGGAGCCUUGAUAGAGACAUGAAUCAACCUCCUAGCGGGAUCUUCAUGCAGUUAUAUGUGAGAUUGUGCAUAUUUGCAUUCAGCUGCAAAUGGAUAUUGUUCGAAUUUGCAUCUUAAUCGCAGAAAUUCGCUGGCCUUCUCGGUGUCGGCAUCAGACCAACAUUCACUAGAGUCCAAGUUCGUCUGAAAUGAGAUGGAGUAGGCAAUCUUUACAGACAAAUUGAGAACACAGUGUUGUCCUGAGCUGUACCUAUCGAGCACAGACAUGACGUAGAGGAAGUGCAGGCCGGCGCCGACGGCCAGAGCGACGCCCCAGAAGAAGUGCUUCCCCCAGAAGCACAGGACGCUGACGACCGCGAGGUACGCCGUGAGGCAGUGCACGGCGGUCCGCAUGACCACCUUGCCGCCAUCCUUCCUCCAGGCCGCCGCCGCCAGCCACGCGCACGCGAGCGCGGCCCCGACAGCCCCCGCGGCGCCGUAGUACUUCCAGUACGUCUCGGUGAGCUCGGACGGCGGCACGGAGGGGUCCUCGGAGCGGUAGACGGAGGGCGGCGGCGGCGCGGGCGCGGGGUCCGGCGGGCCUGCGGGGGUGCCCCAGGGCUCCGCGGUGAGGUUGGCGUAGCGGCCGAUGUUGAAGCGGUCGGCCUGGUGGAAGCGGUUGAGGCCGAAGAGCGCGAGCGCGGCGCCGAAGACGAGCAGGUGGAGGAGGAAGACCACCAGCCAGAACACGUCCCGGCACUGCCGCCUGGGCCACGCCGCGGGGCCCGCCGCCGCCGCCGCCACCGACACGGCCCCCGCCGCUGCGGGGGGGCUAGGGUUCCCGCUGCCGUGGCAGGAGGAGGUGGAGGAAGAGGACAUGGCUGCGAUUGGCGGUUGGGGAGGUAGGAUCGGGCGGUAUGAGGAAUGGGGAGGAUUAACGAGACACGUCCUAGAGCAAUUAGCGAUGCGGGGAGUAGUGGCAACUGGCUAACUGCUCGGCGCUGGUGGUGGACUGGUGGUGGUGGUGACUGGUGCGACUAGGGGGAGUAACCGUUUCGGUCAUCGGGGAGACGAUGACCUGCGCGAGCGAACUGCCGGGUGACUGACGGCGACGUCGCGCGGAAUUCCAGGGGAGCAAGGGAAGCCGGAAGCGGACGCGGUUUGGACUUUCGGAGGAGCGACUGAGGGAGGCGGCUGGCAACGCGAGUACGCGACGAAUGGGAAGCCCAACCAAGUUGCAGAAACAGCCACGGAGAGGGUUCGGGGUUUUCGUGUUGGGGCGGAGCGCGACCGGCGUCCGGCGUCCGGCUGGGGCCUGGGAGCGCCGUGGGCACUUUGGACGCGAGGAUAGCUGCUUGGAUAUGACGGAAAUGCCGAGUGGUUGCUUCGGCGCUGGCGAUUUGCAUUUGCUGCGCUGGAUCCAGCGUUCCUCUUCCAACGGCAACGCAAAUAUGAUGAUGACGGGCGUUUUCCCUGCCGGUUCACCUGCACGCUGCACUGCACGGCUGUAGUAGCAGCACACGAGAUGUGCGUGUGAAUGUGUGAUUAUUGCACUCCAGCUUCGUGACAUCUCAUCUCAUGCCCCUUCAAUCAAAGCCAACGCCUAAAAAAUGACGAUGUCUGAAGCUGAAAUGUCAUCAAGGGAGCCAACGAAUGUUUUUAAGGCAAAGUUUUGUUUACCCUACUUUAAUGUUCUUCCGUGGCACGUGACAUACCUCUCAAUAACAAAGCAGCUGUGAUAACUCUGUCCACCAUGAAAUCUGCAAGUUCAAUCUUUUCGAAAGUACUCGUACAAGUAAUUUGUGGAUAUAGUCCGUCUUAUUGAUUAACCACAUCAUCUUGUCAUAUAUUGACUUUAUUUGAGCGUUUUUUUUUGGUUGUUUAUAUAUCAAAAGCGUAGGGCGCACGAGUGAAUGUAAAACAAAUUAUUGUAAGAUUUUUAGUUGCAUUCGGUUAUAUGCUCAGAACUUCAGUUUCCAGCUGGCCAGGCUCAUGUACACGAUACAUUCAUAGGUGUGUUAUUGGAUAUGUAUGUCGAGAAUCAUGUGCACAUGAUAAAUAGUGUAUAAAUUAAAGUAUAAUUAUUUAUCUUAAAUUUACCGUUAUUCUGUUUAUUUUGCAAAUAACACCCUAAAAGCGUGAUAAUCUGCACUGCUUAUCGCAGGUCCAUCCACAAAUCUCUCCAGGGACCAGGGGAACGGUUGUCCCGAAUCGCCGGCCAUGAAGUGCCGCUCUGAUGCACCAGGCGGUGGUGACGGCCACCGGGACCGGGCCCCAGCCCCCGUUGCCACAGGCGUCGGCGGCUCGCCCCCGGGCGAGCGGAGUAAGAAGCAGCGGACGGAGGAGCCGUCCUCAAGCUCCAGCGUGGUUGGCGAGUGCUCGUCUUCGUCCUCGCAGGCUCUGCCGCCACCGCUGCCGGAGCAGUUGCUGCAGGACGCAGGAGUGGGCGAGCAGCCGCCUCCAGGCCCCGAGCCCGCAGGGGGCGAGCAGGCGAGGGUGCCGGAUCUCGGGGAGGACCUGGUGUUCGAGGUGCUGAUGCGAGCGGAGGCCCGGACACUGGCGGCCGCGGCGUGCGUGAGCCGCGGGUGGCGGCUGCUGGCGAGGGACGAGCGGUUGUGGGAGGCGGCGUGCGUGCGGGAGUGGGCCUGCACUGGAUUCUCCGAGCAGAUGCUUCGCAGUGUCGUGCUUCCGCUUGGCGGCUUCCGGCGCCUACACGAGAUGUACAUCCGUCCGGUCCAGCGGCGUGCUGCUGGAGCGCCGCGCGGGCAGCAGAGGCGGCAGUUGCCGGUGAGGAUGGGCCGGGAUCAGGUCCAAGUCUCACUGUCUUUGCUCUCGACCUCAUUCUUCCUGAAGAUGCCUAAUGCUCCUCCACCUCCUCCUAAGGACAAGGAUAAAGAUGGAGAUAAGAAUGGAGGUGGCCAGUGUGGGUGAUCACUGAUCAAGUUUGUGAAAAAUAGGAGCUUACCUCUCAUGCAGCAUCACCACAGCUGCUUAUGUUAUGUAGGUGAUUAUGUUGUGGUUCUUCACUGUAUUUGUGGCAGUAAAGAGGUGAUCAAGUCAUUUGGAUUGGUGGGCAGAGAAGACUAUUCAGAUAGGUGCGGAUGUACUGAUCGGGAGGCAAAUAAGGUGAGCGAGAUUGGAUGGAAUUCAUUGCAAUAGCGUAUUGGAUGACUACCAAGUCUGUGUGUUGUACCUAAAUUACACACGAAAUGGGCUCAUCUGUAAAGUUUCCAUGCCAUAUAUGUGAAUAUGCGAGGUGCCAAGAGAGAUGCAGCAUGCUCUUUGUGCUGUUGUGCCAUGGGAAUAAGGGUGAGCCUCUUAGGGCUUCAUCAUGCUCUUUGUGCUGUUGUGCCAUGAGAGUAAGUGUGAGUCUCUUAGGGCUUGUUUAGUUGUAUGGGGAUUAAAGGGGAUUGAGGGACAUACAAUUCCUUGCUAGUUAAUUUUGGAGGGGGAUUGAGAGGCAUACAAUUCCUUAUUGUUCUGUUUGAAAUCCUUCUCUUACACGUGGGAAGGAUUGGACUUAGGGUCUGUUUGCAAGCUCACAUUUUUUAAGAAAUUGGUUUAUAGAAACUAGAGUGGUUUCAAAUAUACUACUUUAUGUCCUAGUUUAUAUAAACUGGAGUCUUUGUUUCUUAAAAACCAAGAAGCUACUCUCUCCUAGCUAAAACCAGCUUUUAUUUGUUUAAUUACAUCAUGCUCUUAUUGGUUUCGUGGAAUUUACAUCUAUUGCCACCGUUUUUUAAAAUAAAGGAAGGGUAUAUUAAUAAUUGCGUAUCAAAAAGCUAAAAACUGGUUUGUUAAAAAUUGAGUUCCAAACACCUCAACCCAACUUUAUUUUUCAUAAAUCAGUUUCUACAAAUUGUUUUUUUUUAAAAAAAAACUGAUGUGCUUCCAAACAGACUCUUAGCUAUUUAAUCUUAUAAUAUAUCUUAGACCCUGUUUGGCAGCAACUUAACUUUUAAGAAUCCAGUUUAUAUCUCCAAUUUCCAGAAAUUGGUUUAUAAAAAAAAACUAACCGAUGGUGUUUGGAACCACCUCAAUUUUAAUAAACUAGUUUUAGUUAGAGAUGAUAGCUUCUUGUUUUUUAAGAAACUAGGAAUAUAUAUUCUAUAAACUAGGACAUAAACUGAUAUGUUUGAAACCAUCUCAAUUCUUAUAAACCAGUUUUCUUAAAAACUGGGGUCUUCUAAAUAGGCCCUUAAUAAAUAUCAAGAAUAGGUGAGAUGUUGACUUGUGUUACUAAAAUUCAGUUUAGUUCUAUGUUUACUACGUGCUAUUCGUAGGUCUGUUAAGCAAAUCUGAUGCAACUGUUGUAUACUGAUUGAUAAUGUUUAAUUGGCAGAAAUAUGGAUUCCUCAAAUUGAAAAUUCAAAUUCAAUGAGGUCGUCAUGCAUGUAUGACACAGUUGUCUGUGGAUUCAUGUGAUUCAUUUCAGGUGAAUGUGCCGUGUGCUCUGGAUUCUUGUUUGGUCGAUAUGUUGUUGGUAACUGGAGAGUCCAAAUGUGUUGUCUGCUCUCUGCUGGGUGGCGUCGGGCUAGAAUUGGUUGAGGGAACCUUGGUUGCUGGAAGCUCGACGCAAUCACGCUAUCCAGCUCCUAACCAGCGUGUUAUUAUACCUUCGAUUAAAAAACAAAAGCAGGAACAAUGAUCAAUCAUUUAAGAGAAGCAUUUAAGUUUUACAUAAAUUGCAAUGCAAAUUUUACAUUGCUUUUUUCGAUAAAGGAAGCUUUAUAUUAAAGGUUACCAAGAGCGAUACAUCGAGAGGAUACAUAGUCUUGGUACACAAACUCCCGGCCUCUGCCUAAUGCACAUAGCCAACCUAAAAAAAACAUAAACACAGCAGCUUCCCCAAACUAGUGACAGUCAAUCCGAAGACUAGAUCGCCACCCAUACACCCAGGAAAAAAGACCGUGGCCGUUCGCACCAAGAGUCGCGAACCCUCCACAACCAACGGUCGCAGCUCCUCUCGCUGAUAGCUUCUGUGACACCAAAUGGAUAACCUGACUGAAAUGGCCCAAUCGGAAGAGAUGAAGUGGACACCGUGCGUAGCGCUUGACCAGCCGGCUUGAAUCCACUCAAAUCGCCAUCAAGAUUGCGACGAGAAGCCCUCUUCAUAGCGUUCAAAGUAGAAUCCUCAUCUUUCACCGGAGGCAUCAGAUUCUUCUCCGGUGGGAUGGGCAAUUUUACUUGCCCCGCCCCAAUAUGCAAACUGCAUUCAAUCUUCCUUACAUCAUCCAUCGGCUGGCCCUCUCUUUCAAAUGCAGAACUCCUCUGUCCCUGGAAUGCAGGCAUGGACCAGCAACAUGCCGCUGGCAUAUUCAUGGCCGUGUGUGCCGAAGUAAGCACAACAGACGGACCAACCCCCUUCUUGUUACUCACUAACUGCUCAUCAGGAAUAUUCUUGGGCCAGCUGCUUGCCUCAGGCACAAUCCUGGUCGUGUGGGCAGAGUUAAUCACACCAGUCGGGCCAGCCCCUUUCAUGUUACUCACAAACUGCUCAUCAAGAAUACUCUGUAGCAUUAAGUUGCAGCCAUUAGUAUCAUCUGACCCAGCAACAGAGCUCCUUUUGCCACCAGAAAGAAACCCAGCAGCAGAUGACAUUCCAAUCUUAUGCAGCUUCAGAUCUGCCCCAGUUCGGCCAUGCAAAGAGGGACGUACAGAAUGCAGGGUAGACAUGUUGAGCAAAGGAAAACCCUUCAUCACAGCAGGCACAGGUUCAUUAGCCUUCUCCAAGGGUGAAAUGGCAGCAGCCCCAAGCAUUGGAGUAUCUUCCCCAUCACCAAAACCCCCUGCCAUAGAACCAGCUCCACCCCCCUUCCCAUCUAAUUUAUGUUUUUUGGAAGCAUGUUCUGGACUUUUAUCCUCUUGUUCAGAAUCCUUGUCCAUACCACCCCCACCAUCAUUACGAGACUCCUCCCUAAAAAUCACUGGAGAUGCAGGAAUGAAGUUCUUAUCCUCUAUAGAAUAGGUGAUCUCGUAUCCCUUCUUGUCAAAAACAAUAUCGGUGGUCAGGGGUAGUGGAUCUCUGCUCAUCACACCAACAAGCAGUCUGAUGACGCCCAUCUUUCUAUAGGUGUACAUGUCUACAUCAAGAGUGGCGCCGAUUACCGAUCUUAGGGCCCAAAAACCCAAAUAAUGCCUCCAAGCGUGAGGUACUCCCCUCACAUGAACCCAAACCUCGUCCAAUUGAUAAUUGGGUUCAACAUCAUUAGCAUCCUUCCAUUCAGAGAUGGUGAGAGUAACUCCAUGAUUUUUGAGAGUGAACUCCACAUCAGCCAUCCUAAUCAGUUCAUCAACUGAGGGAAAUACCACCAAGAAGGAAUCAUCACUAUGGGGUAGCGCCUCCCAAGCCCAUUCUUUUGUAAUGAAUCGAGCUAGUUCAACUUGCACCGCCUCAGCCGAGAGCUUCCCCCCACUCACUUUGAUCAGAGCAGUCGGGGCAAGGUCAGGUGUUUCUAGCCUGUAGUCAAAAUCCGGAAUGCGAAAGAAGCCUAACUCGUUAUUACCAAAGCCAAAGAAGGAGGCAUCGGGCUUAGGCAAUUUCAGUAGGGGGCACUUGGCUACCACAUCUGAAUUCUUCUUGUUACACACCACACAAUCUAAAUCUGCCUUGCACUCAUCAUUUAAAUGGCCACUCAACUUGCAUCGGAAGCACACACCACGCAAUCUAAAUCUGCCUUGCACUCAUCAUUUAAAUGGCCACUCAACUUGCAUCGGAAGCAUAGAGGUAGGGCUGACAAUGGGCUAUAAUUUUUGCACUAUAAGAUUUAAGGAUCGAAGCGGGUUAGGAUCGGACUUUAUUUCUAGUCAUUUUUGAACUAUAAUUUAUUUAGGGCCUUGACAUUUUGUGAAGAACUAUUUGGAUCACGAUCCAUUACCACCCCUACAUAGAGGAGCCUUUAUUUUCUUUGCUUUUCACAGAGUUACCUGGGGGAGCCGCUGCCGACUGCCUACGCUUGUCUCAAACAAAGAAUGCUAAACAACUACCCAAGGUUUUCCACGACCACGAGCCUGCAGUCUCAGGUCCAUCUCAGGCUUGAUUAGCCAAACACCAUUUGUUAAUAGCGGAUGCUUCUGUAGUGGAAGCCUGGAGAGUGGCUUCUAACAUAUGCUAUAUAAGUGUUUGUUGAUACGAAAUAAGAAUUGAUCAUCAACGAAGCCCGUUAGGGGAUAAACAGUGAGGUUACUGUCAGCACUUAGCAAAACUGUAACGCACCAUAUCAGCUAAUAUGAAUCUGAUGCUGAUGCCCCUCAGCAAGUAGACUUGGCUUGUACUCCUACUUUUUUAAAAAAUGAAGACAUCCAAAAGAGUGUCUCGCAGUUGAUUUACCUUAAGGAAAACAAAGGACAGUAUAAAAGUGGAUAAUAAGACAUAAAACAACCAUUAAAAAUAAGUAGGAGUACUUUUCGAGAGAGAAAAUAAGUAGGAGUACAAUAAAGACCAAAUUGAUAAUAUUCUUCUUUCAAUCGUCCAAUUUGUACUCCUACUUAAUAAUGAGAUAUAGUAAUAGUAACGUGUUCGCAAAUAACUGUCAGCUGCUCAUCCGAAAGACAAACGCAUUUGGUCUUGACUCCUGAGUUCGACUAAUUUCUCUGAUAGACACCAAACCCUUAGCUACGCUUUGUGACGCCCACCUAUCAGUUGGAGGAUGCAAUGCCAUGCUCUAUCUUUUAUAGUAUGAGCCAAAUGCAUGAUGCUUGAACACACCAGACCUCCUCUUCUCCAGCUCUGUCCGCAAUCUCUGUGCUUCCAUUUUUAUGUUGAUAAAAUCACUCUCUAUGGCCUGACUCUCCUCAAGAAGCUCAACUUUUGCACGUUUCUCAUGCUCGUAUGCCAUCCUGGAAACGAAUUUUAGCCAUGUGGAGCAUUAUUAGUAGUUUGAUACCUACAAACCUUGGUACAUUUAGAAAGACAAACAAAGCAAAAAUUAUUGGUAUUUUUAACUCUUAAAAACGUGCAUGCUUAAGUAAUAUAUAUGGAGACAUUUUCAAAAAAAAAUAUCUGUAACGAAAGCAUAACAUUAUGGAGACAUUUUCCACAUCAAUGCACCUGCAUAAGAUCACAAAACACAAACCUGGCCCUCGAAAUCUCCGCUUGUAUAUCAUGCAACCCUUCUCUUGUAGCAGGUAUCUGCUUGUUCUCGAUCUGCUCCAGCUCCCUGUACAAUGACUGAACCUUCACAGAUAGCUCUUUGCACAAAGCUUCCAACUCCAUCUUUUCAGAACUUAGGACCAACACUUCUUCCUUGAUAAGUUUAAGAGCAUGCAUCUGUUCCUCUAACUUCAUGCCUCCCUGGAUAAUAUCCCUGUAUUCCAUUUCAUUAUCAACACGAAGUCUGGGAAUGGUUUGUUUGGCAAGUAUAUGGAUCUCGUCUUCAAUGACAGCUAAUUCUUGCCUAAGGCCCAGAAUAUCCUCUAGCACAAGAGUAUUAUCAGCAGCAAUUCUACGAAUCUCUUCACAACCAACUGCAAGUUCCUCCUGAAAAGGGACCAGAGGCAUGGGUCCAGGAACUCCUCCAUCUAAUGAAUUUGAAGGGGAAUUUCUAUGGCCAUUAUUGCUCCAAGGUUGCCGAGCCAUGUGGUUUUCUGAUGGUGCCUGCAAUGGUGUGAAAGAAGAGGACCCACAGCAUAUGAAUGGAUGGAUAUGCUUGAAUAACAUGGGAUAAAAAAUAAAACUAUCUUGAAUAGUUGAAAUGACAUAAGUAUGUGACUGUGGAUCUGGAUAUCAAAACAACGUAUCAUUUCCAAACACGCAUGACUUCAUUUCAGUACACAAAACAGCAUGAUACGACAUAGUACAAACACACCUAAGGUAAAAAGAAGUUCUGGUAUUUCAUCAAACAAUAAUUUAAAGGAUUGGCUCAUUUAGCUGUUUGCCACCAUAAAACAAUCUUUGUAAUUUUAUAACUUCUUCACCUUUUAUUAAAUAGCUCUACUGGUUUUUUCUUGUCCAAUACCAGGGCUGCAGCCCCGGCAGCCUGGGUCCUAGAUCCGCUACUGCUGGGCUGAUGUUCUCAUUGUUCUCUUAUUUUGCUCUGGGUUGCUUUGUGUCCAUCCUUGUGUAAUCACAUACUGUAACUACUGCCAACACAUUGUUUAGAUGGGCACAGUGGGCUUGUUCUCUCUGCUUCCUUCCUUCUAAAUAAAACAUGUGCCCAUGCACGUUCUUAAAAAAGGUGCAGAAUUAUAUAUUGGUUGCACUUGCAACUCAUGUGGCUUGGUGACUACUAAAUAGAAAUUCCACAAUCAUUGAAGGAUUGCACACAAAAAAAAAACUACAUCUCACAAUCUAAAUCAUUAAAACCUACCGCAGAGUAAAAGUUCCACAAUCUUUAAAAGAUUGUGCAGAAAAGGUUACAAAAUUAGUGUGUGAUUAUCUAAAUCACAAGUCAUGUGGUUUGGUGGUUGGAUAGUACAAAUUGCACAACCGUAAAAAUGUUUGCACAAAAAAGAGAAAGCAACUACACUUCACAUCUAAAUUAAAUCAGCAGAUGUUAUCAGAUAUCAAGCUAUCCAAUCAUGAUGUCCAAAUCCAAUAGAGUGAACAGGUUCCUAUGAAUCAUUAAACUUUUGAGGAGCACAUUAGCAUCCUCCGUCAGGGAGCCAGUGUUUCAAAAGUGGCCACAUAAUCUGCAUGGGCAUCUUGCACUCAAUGUCACCCUCUCACAUUAUAGAUGAGCGUGCCAAACCCUCAAGAAGGCAAAAAUAGGUUUGCAGGCAUCUUAUGAAUGAUCACACGAUGUACCUCCUGGAAUAAGGCAAACAAUUCGUUUACAGGUAAUGCAGUCCCUCAAAUUAGACAUUUAUUUAUUAACCUGUAAAAAAUCUGAGGGACCGGGCUGACUCAAAGUGCAUAAAUGGGUGUAGCUUCAUCUUGAAAUCAUUAGAUCUUUGCAAGUAUUACUCCAAAAAAUCCAGAAGGGUGUUAACAAGACAAAAAAAUAACAAGGAUAUUAAACACCAAUAUCAAUCAGAAACCCACUUCAAGUUUACAUGCACAUACACACCCACACCCACACGGCCACACAUGACACCACAGAAAUUUGAGAUGCAGCACGAAGUGACCAUAAUUCGUAGAAAUCACCAAAAAAAUACCCCCUAGGUCAGGGAAUAAUGUUUCUUUGUCGAGGAAAUGGUUUACUUGUUGUUAGAACCAGCAUGAGCACCCAAAAAUUUAACCCUAUAUCCACGAUAAUAGCAACGAAAUAAAGAACUGACUAAGGUAUCCAGCAACCAGGUUCCUGCUAAACUACUCCACAAACAGAGUCGGCUAAUCAUAAAACAUGUCAUUCGAAGUUUCGAACCAAUUUCUCGACCAAACAGUGAAUACUGUUGCUCACGGUUCGACGCGCAUGCUAACAAAACAAUCAGAUAGCAGUAGCACACGACGAAAACAAGUUUGGCAGAGAUAACCGAUGUAGUUACUUGUUUGAUCAUUCCAGGCGAGGGUUCCAAGUUGUUGCCCGUACAUCUACGAAACACACGACACUAGAGCAGUUCACCAAAAAUCGAUGGUGGUCUGCAGGAGAUACAGACCUGCUGGAUGCCACCGCGUCCUCGUUGUGGCCCGCACUACGCUACACCAGCCAGCAAGGCGCCCACCCCCCGCGCCGUGUCGCUGCCGAACUGCUCGCGGAGGCCGCCGCACCCCGUCCCCGAGCCAAACCACCGCCAGCUGUGAGCUGUCGCCUGUCGAUCCGUUACCGAAGCGGUGAAGGUGUCGCCUGCUCCUCGACUCCGUCCAGUACUCCAGUGUGAUUGUCUUGUGGGGUGAACAUAACUCGGGCCCGGCUGCGCCGGAGAGUAUCACAUCUACGGAUGGCAAUGAAGUCCCUAUCCUUAGAGCAUCUCCAAAAGCUCCCCAGAAGUUUCCCCUAAAUCUAUUUUUUGGGGAAAAACACAAAAACAUGUCUCCAACAGUUCCCCUAAAGCGCCCCAACUUUUUCAUAGCCCUUAAAACUCCCUCAUUUGUAGCUACAAAUGAGGGGUUUUUUGGGCUCCCCAGAAACAAACUGCUGCUUUAAGGGAUCUGUUGGAGAAAGGAUUAAAAUUUACCCCCACUUAUUAUUUAGAUGUCCCUUAAAACUGAUUUUGAGGAGUCGUUUUAUGGAGAGCUCUUGGAGAUGCUCUUAUUACCACCCUGCAUUAGGGCUAGUUUGAGAGAGAUAAAAUCGAAAGAGAUUAGAAGAGCUAGAAUUCCUUUCUCAUUUAAUCCCUCUAACUUCCUCUAAUUUUGUGCCUCCUAAACUAGCUUUUAGAAUUAGUUUGGAAGCUAUAAAAUUGCCCUUCUUAUUCAGUUUUGAAUAAAAAUGGAAAUUUAGCCACUCUAAUCUCCUUUGGUUUUCUCGCUCUCAAACUAUUCCUUAGAGGAUGAGGACGGAAAAGGUUCUCUCCCACGGGAUGUAAACGAGAAAAAGAUUCUCUCCCGAUAGGUAAACAAGGAUGAGUUCGUUUCUCACGAUGACCCAUUAAACUUAUAUAUGAUAAUAUUUUUUAUUUAAUAUUUAACGAUAAAAAUAAAUAAUUACCUUGUAAAUAUAUCACUCGUUGUAAAAAUGUAUUCAUUUUAGUGUACAUAUAAUAGUUUCUUACAUCUAACGAUGUGUAUAAGUGACAAUAUUUUACAUUAAUAAUAAAAAAAUAUGUCAUAAUUUAAGCGGGGAUAGGGAUCCUGACGAGAAUUUAUUCCCGUGGAGAACAGGGAUAUGUAAGAAAUACCCCGCAAGAGUUUAUGAGGAUCCUGUGAAAAACUUUUUUCAUCGCGGGACGGGAACUGAGGAGUUAAAACUCGAUGAAAAAUUUCUUGUUGCCAUCCCUAAUCACAUCUUUCCCAAUAUAUAGUCAAUUAAAGAUAUUUAGGAGAUAACUAAAUAAAAAGAGACAUUCUUUACAAAGAGCUCUCUACACGCUACAUAUAUUUAGGACCGAUACUGAUAUUUUAGGGCUUGAGAAAAAUUAAUAAGAAGGCAUCUAUAUAUGUGUAAUAUAUUUUUUAUAUGUAAAAUCUUAUGAACAUAUGAUUAAAGAAAUUAUUAUUUGAUGCACAAAAAUAACUUCUAUCAAGCACUAUCAAAUUUUUAGAUAUUACAUUGAUUAGUUUCCUAACCUCAUAUAUAUGGUACACAAUAUACUUAGUGCAUAUUUAAUACUUAGGAUCGAUACUCAUACCUUGGGGGGGGGGGCAGCGCAAUCUGUGCGGGCCACGUCAGCCUGGCCAACGAUCACCGUCAGCCUAGCCAACGAUCACCAGGCUGCACCUGACUGUCCAGUGCGCCACCAAACUAUCCGGUGUGCCAAAUGACCAACGAUCGACUUCGUCAAGAAUGGAAACAAAUCACCUGAUGUGCAGUGUCCGGUAUGCACCGGACAGUCUGGUGCACCCGCAGACAGAAGGCAACCAGGGCCUUCCAAACGAAGAUCAAACGACUCCUUGGUCUUUUUGGGCUAUAAAAGCACCCUCUAGGUGCAUGGAGCUGUUACCCAAGCACUCUUUGAGCACACAACUCUGAAUCUUUGCGACAACGCUAUUGUUUUGCUAGAGAGACUUGAGCACUAGGGUGGGCAAAAAAUCUGUAACCCGAAACCCGAACCCGAAAUACCCGAAACCCCAAUUUUGUUUGGGAAUUUCGGGUAGCAACUUGCAAAACCUGAAUUUAUUUCGGGUAAUUCGAGUAUCACAAUCGGGUACCCGAAUUACCCGAACUUUUAUGUGUCAUUUACUCAUGUCAUGCUUAAUUAUUAAUCUGUACACCUAUAAUUAUGUGUAAGUAUGCAUAACUUGUGAUUGUGGAUUGCUUGUGUUUUAAAUGUCCAUGUAUAUCAUUAUUCAAACUGUAUUUUUAUACUAACUAGGUGAGUGCCCGUGCGUUGCAACGGAAACAUAUAAUAUUAUAAUAACUUAUGUACAAAUGUGUGUUAUACUGUUAUGAGAAAAUAUUUCGUAAUUUAUUUGUGAACCUAGCCAUACAUAAAUUUCUGGACAUCUUUACAUCUAGAAAAAGCAUGAUCUUCUGGACUUCAACAAGGUGAGAGACAGGCACCUGAACCAUGUAGUACUUAUUUGCUUGUGCUUUGUCCUCGUAUUUUUCUUCAGGAAAUCAGCAAGUUAAUACACAAUGAGCUACAUAAAGUAACACUUGGCACAUGAAGGUAGGCGGCAAUUACUUGUGCAAAGAUUCAAUGGUGCUUCAGAAGAACAUAGAAAGACAAGGAUAGAAAAAAUAUAGACCCCAUUUAAUCAAAACAAAAGUACUGUAGUCCUUACAAUUACCCCGCAUAAUAUAAAAUAUGAUUAUUGGAGUACAAACUUGUACAUACAUAUUAAUGGCAUACAUGAACAACAAAAAUAGCUCACCUCACAUGCGACUGAGAUUUCACGACAACAAUCCCUUGAAAUAACCUGAUAGAAUAACAACACAAUCAGGAACUUACAUGGUAAUGAUCUUUCUAAUACAGUAUAUGAUCUGGUCUUAUGAUUGUACUAGGUUUGAAGUGGCAAUGAACAACAGACAACAUGUAAUGGGUAUUAUGUCCUCCAUCUCCUACUAGAUAGAUAACAUUUUUAUUACUGCAGUCCAUAGUAUAGUUUAUGUUUUCUCAGACCGGCAAGAUACCUGAUAUGAGAUUUAAACAAUUAUUUUUAAAAAAUGAUACAUUAUUAAAAAAAUACACAGUAUAGUCCAAUCACAUAUUAUAAAGGGCAAUAACAAUAAUAGCAUAUUGCAUGGCGUGCAAGUACGAUGAAGUUAAAUGGAAAUCCAUAACAUAAGAAUUCCUCCAUAGUUCAUCUCACUCCUUUCCAUCAAGGUCAAAUGACAACAGAUAAAACCAAAUGGUUGUGUGGUGCAAACUUAUGGACCCUAUAAAAAUGAGAGCAUACUCAAUAGCCUAUAUUGUUGUAACAACAAAUAAACAUCCACACCCAAGGAGAUCAAUCUAAGAAUAUCAAAACUUGUCAUCGCUUGAACUAUAUAACUCAAUUUUAACAUCAUUUAGGAGUAAUGAGUUCUCAGCUAAAAUGGAUCAGCUUGCAUCGGUAGUCUCCAAAUUCAAGGAUUCACAUAAUUUAAAUUUAGGUUGCAAUAAAUUACAUUAGAACAAAACCCGUGGGGCUGUUGCUCCAUCCUUCCACGACCACCGGCGCUGCUCUGCCUCGCCGUACCGCUUUCCCGAUGAGGCGUCUCCGCGGUGUCCUGGAUCGCUCACAUGGGGGUGGCGAUGAAACUGCUUGCACGAGUGAGUUGAGACCUCAACGUUUUGCCCCCCCAAAAAGGAGAACAGAACGGAGGACUUGUUGCAUUCGUAUUUCUUUUUGUGCUUGUUCACAGUCCUGCGGGUUUUGUUCUCUUGCUUACUGUGGACAGAGGCGUGCUGUGGUGUUCUGGAACACGUUGGAGAAGGAACAAGCUGCGCACGAGUGAAGGAGUGAGUACACGCACCUCAGGCUUGCAGGUCUUGCAAAGCGCGCUGAGGGAGUUGGCGAGCGCGGAGGCGUCCUCCUCCCCAGCACCGCGACCGCCGCAGCCGCCGCUCCCACUUUGCGGCGGCAGGACGUGUAGCAUAGUGAGGAAGUCGCCCCUGUUGGCGAUGUGGGUGAUGUUUUUUUGGCUAGGAUAUGGUCAAAAACAACAUGAAUUUCAUGGUUAGCCACAUCACUGUUGUCAUAUAGGGAUGAGGUACAUAUGGAGUUCUUUUGUGUGGGCAUGUGUUUAAUAAAAUAUCAUCUCUCUGGUAGUGUUUUCUUUUGGAGCUCAUUAAGAUAUUUCUUCUGCUCUUUGUGAGCCCAGGAAAAAACAAUUAAAUAUAGAGUAAAAUUCAAUGGAAAUGUCUGACCAGUGUGAGAAAUGUCAGCUCCUACUUUCUCUCUGGUAGUCUCAAGGCAUUUGUGUUAGAGGCUUCAGUUAGCAGUAGUGGCUAAGCAGUAGCAGUUUCAGUUAGUAGUGGAGCUAUCAUAUAAUUAAAAAAAGAUGGAUAGAACAACUGUUUUAGUGUUCUUGGAUCUAUUCGCAUAAUUCAGAUAAUGGAAAGAACCUGCAAAAAGAGGGCAUGAUCUAAGCAACCUUUGUCAAAUUCAAAUAAUGGAAAGGAAAGGAGGGGUUAUCUGUAAUUGCAUAAUUCAAUAACUGAGUGUGAUGCAUUCUAAUUCAAAAAAGGAGGGAUUAUGCACCAGAUUGAAAUGAGCUUGCUCAAAUGAAGACCUGGCACCGUGAAGCUCCUGAUUGAGCUAAAAGAUAAAAAGGGUUAUGAAGUCGUCGCCUUUAGAUUCAAGGAUCUGGGCAGUUUUCUUCCCUUCUAAUGCAAGGAUUUGGGCUUGUUUCUUCCCUUCAGAUUCAAGGACUUGGGCGCAUAUUAUCCUUUCUACUUCAGCCUGCAUCUCCAUAGCCUGCCUAAUCCCUGUUGAAGGAGUUAUGUCCCCUGCAUUGCCAAAAAAAAUUAAAAACAUUAUAAGCAAACCAUAUAUUAUAACUCGAAUUAUUAAACAUGAAAAAGCAACACAAUGAUCUCAUAGUGGAUACACUUCAUGCCCCAAUCUGUGGCUGCCAUUGAUGGCACUCUUUUUUUAUCUCUGCAGAUGUGUGUUCACAACCUGAAAGAAAACAUGUUCUGUAGUGACACAAACAUGCAAAGCAUAGAGUUUGAGAGAUUGAACCAUCAAGCAACAUAAUUGACACAUCCAAUUUAGUGUGUCCUAUUUGACAAUGCAUGAUGCUUUUAUAAUGUCUCCAUUUCCCUAUUCUUUAUGCCAUUUGGGAGUUGCUAUUUGUUAAUACAUACAAAACCAAUUACGACACUACCUACAUGUGUGUGCCAAGUUUCCUAAAUCAUGCAAAACCAAGAUAAAUCAGCUACAACUACUAUUGGUGCAGCCUUUCGACUGUGUUGUUACAUAUUUCUUGAAGCCAUCUAAUGUGGUAACCUUGAUAUACAUAGACUCUUACAGUAUGGCCAAAUAAACAUAAACUAAAGAGCUCAGAUGCUAGGCAACUAUAGAACACCAUCUAAACGAUGCCAUUAUGUGCAAGCACGCUAUGUGUGAAAUAGAUGGAGUAAUUUUCUUUAGCUUCUACUAAACUCUGUCAUGCUCUUGGAUCACUUUUAGUUUUAGAGAAGAGAGUACAAACCUGCCAUAUAGGGAUUGGGCCCAGAAAUCCCACCCACUCUCUUUUAGCCUAAUUGAACAGAGACUUGGUGAGUUCAAAAAAUCUUUGAGCCUCUUUCUUCUGCAUUUGGAUGUCAGAUAAGUUGAAACCCCAGUCAGAUACUUGCAGCACAACUUCCUUUACAAAUGGCCUUGCAUCUCCCUAGCGCACAUACCCUGUAACAUCUUAAUGGUAUAUGAAGAAUUAAUCAGAAGAUAGAAAAGAAAUGAAAAAUAUGAUACAUAAGAAGUAAUUGAGAACCAAGCAGUAAGCAUAUGCAGCUAGCAACCAUCUUAUAACUAACUGGCAGCAAGCUACUAAAGCAAAAAUAGUGUCCUUAUACUGUGAUCGUCUAGAAAUAUGAUAGGCAAGAAGUUAUAAACCCGGCCGUGAGGAGACGCUGCCGCUUGUCGGGCGCGGGCGAGGCCCCGGCCAUGAUAUAAUACCUUACUGGUUUCAAAAUGAUAUAAUACCUUACUGGUUUCAUAAAAUCUUCUGAUUCUUCUUCUUAUGGUGCCCCCUUCUACUGUAGACAUCCUUCUCAUCAUGUUGUAUUUUGAUUAUAGAAAACAAGUCAGCCACCAAAUAAGCACGAGAUAUAAUAUAAUACACAUUUUGAUUAACCAAAAGAGCAGACUAAACUCAUUUGUUUUAAUCAUUUAUGGACAUAAUUAAACUACAACAACCAAACAGAGCUUGGAACAAGUUCCUUGUGCAAAUUAAGCAAGUUAAUUGUUGAAUCAAAGUUCAAAAGGGAAGCAACAAUUGUUAAAUGAACAUCAAUAGAAAAUAAAUUGUUGAAAGAAAAGUGUGGAAACCUUGGCGAAGGUCCUUGGACGGCCUGUUGAAGUAUUUGUGGACGCCUACACUGUUCUCUUAAGGAGUAGUAGAGAUUUAAUAGGGUGUAUGUGUUUUUAUGAAGCCGACACAACAGUUCGGGUAGUUCGGAAAUACCCGAACCCGAAAUUCUGGGUACCCAAAAUUCUGGGUAUUGUAAAACCUGUUGUAAUUUCGGGUAUCGAAUCUCAAAACCCGAAAUUUUAAAUACUCGAAUUACCUGACCCAAAAUUUUUGGGUAACCCGAACACCCACACCUAUUGAGCACGUUCUUGAGCUGUAACCCUAUCGUUGUGUUUCAUGCGCUCUCUCUUUUCACUUGUGUGUGUUGUUGCUGUGUUGUGCUCUUGUGUGCGUUUCUACUCCCAUCCUUACUCUGAUUUUGUUUGUAAUCAAAUGUGUAAGGCGUGAGAGACUCCAAUUUGUGGAUAUUGCUCACAACGGGAUUUUGGUAUAAGGAAGGUAUCUAUGGCACUCAAGUUUUAUCUUUGGAUCACUUGAGAGGGGUUGAGUGCAACCCUUGACCAAAGGAGGCCACCAAAACUAGUCAAGACUACAAUAUUUGAUGUAAAGUAGAAGUUACACAUUGAUUUGUGUGGAUCUAAUCUCUACCUAAGAUUAGACUAUAAUUUCCUUCUACAUUGGCGACGAAGAAAGCAACAGCAAGGGUCCUGGUCCCGAUGAUUAAUUCAAUGGACAUGACUCCCUUGGCUUUAAUUGAAUUGUCGGCCCAACACCACUGAGCGUCAUGUUAGUCUUGACUAGUUCGUCAUCCUGCUUCCCUAAUUUUCUAUACAAUGAUUAAGACAUUAAAUUCAAGGUCGCCCCUCCAUCUACUAUCAUUUUAGCUAUCAGUAUUCCAUCGGUAUGACCAUGCACAAAGAGUAGCUUUAAGGGGUUGACCGAUUCUUUUAGCUUAGCGAAGGCGGCCUCUAUAUGACCAAAAUCGAAUUCAUCAACGACAGGUUCAUUGUCCCCCGAUAAUAGUGCAAUCAAUUGAGAACAUAAUCACAUUUACAUCCAUACCUAGGUGCUCUAGUGAGGCUCCAUAGUCAACCAAAUCCUCUCCUAGCAGGCCGUCUUCCUCGGUGUUAUCUUCCUCCAUAGGUGUUCGCGUGUCGUCAGAGGCAUUCUGGUGAGGCACAAACGAUUCGGACUCGAGGGUCGGAUGGUCUGGGGUGAACGUGGAUGGUCCACCUUUAACAGCUAGACUGUCCGCUGCACCUGCAAAGAACUGUGCAGUUGUUGUCUUGUUCUCUGUCUUUGUGGCCGUUUGAUUUGCUUCGAUGACCUUUGGUCUCCUCCUCUUUUGUGGUGGUGGGUACUAUGGAUGUGUAUCAUUAAAUAUUUUUUCUGCUUCUUUUUCCUUGAUC
This 84181-nucleotide long non-coding RNA is filed under the name Zea mays. RNAcentral describes it as "long non-coding RNA (ZMAY_LNC003382)". The record is from RNAcentral. Lineage: Eukaryota; Viridiplantae; Streptophyta; Magnoliopsida; Poales; Poaceae.